ACAAAGAACUGAACAUGAAAUGUUUAUUGCUGCCUCGAAGAAGCUUAACAAAAAAAGUACAAUCGACAAUGGCACCUAAUGGAAAUAGAAUAUCUUAUUCGCUUAAUGUAGCAUUCCUAUGGAAGCACUAACUAGCAUCUAAAGACGUCCUUCAAAUCAUGCAUCAAUAUCACCAUCAUUCCCACCAGAAGACUCUGGUGGUGCAUUGACCCACUCGUCACGUCCCAUGUUAUAUUGGCCUACAUCACUACCAUUAUACCCCAUGUAAGAAUCCAUCCCUAGGAUUUCAUUGUAGUGCACCUGGUCCGAAGGAGCAUCAGCCGAGUUAUCAUAGCCAAGUGAUGCGCGGACGGCGAUAUCAUUGCCACCGAAGUUAGGGAUUGUCUUGUUCUGUGAUGACUCUGUCGUCUUGUACGGACUUGCAUAUUCUUCAAGUUGUGGCUGAGGUUUUGGAGGUAAACCAUGUGCCUGGUCAAGAUCUGGUUGUAGGAGGGAUGCCAAGUGGGGAGUCGAAGGUGGUGGUGUGGACUGAAACAUUUGUGGUACCUGCACAGAAAAAAGGUGGUUCCAUUUUGUGGUAAGGACUUGCAUAAUUCUAAAGGCGUGGAAAAGUGGUGGAGAAAAAUCUUAUACCUGAUGAGGAAUUGGUUUCAUAAGGGACCUCAACUGGAGUGCCAAAGGUGAUGGUGGGGACUGGAGUAUCUGUGGUACCUGCAUAUGAAAAGAUGGUUCCAUAGUGUGUUGUAGUGUUGGUGGUAGUGAAACUGGAGGCAACACUUGAGGUGGAACAUGGUGAGAUGACGUUGAUUGUAGUGAUGCCCGAUGAGUCUUCGAGUGAUCCUGUGAUGGACCUCUUGGCAACAACUGGUUUUGUUGCACAUUUGGACCACCAGUCCUUGGUGCAUGGCCAUGAUGUAGUGGAGGCAUGCGGUGUCUAAUAUGCUCGUUGACUCGCAAGAGGUCAUUGAAGAGCCUCUUGAGAUCUUCUAGACAUAUAUCCUUUUCCCUGGAGAAGAUAUUAUUUGCCGCCAUCCCUGGGUUUUCAGCUUGCAUCUUCUUGAUAUGCUUGAGGGAGAGGUUUGCUCUCUUCUCUAGCAUUGCAUUCUCCAUGUCCAACCUAGCCACCUUGCUUUGCAGCGAUGCAAUCCUAGCUUUUCCCGCCUUGUUGGCGAGUGGAUCGAGAAGUGGAUCUCUUGACAAGAAAGCAUCAAUAAUAGGUUCCACCGAUGGCGUCCCAAAGGCAUGCAUCUUUCCUGAUUCACUCUCCAGGACAACAGCAACCUUCACGCCAGUGAGGGCGGAGAGGUUACUGGCACUUUUAAACAAACCAGCACGUCGUUUGGAGAAGGUGACGCUACGCUGUUUGUCGUCAUCGAUGUGACAAACUCCCACACGGAUCUCCCUCCUCGGCAUACUCAAAAGGAUAACUGGAGGACUUAUUACUACAGAUGGCAAGCUACAAGGAUCUAACAAAAGAUAGAUGUAUAUUUACUAUUGUUGUUGGCUAACUUUAGGUUAGUGGGAGAUAAGUGAGGAUGAGCUCCCCUUAUAUAGAAGGAAAGGCUUGCAAGCAUAAACCUCAUCUUGAGAAAACAUGAAGCUUCUCUAUGUUCUAUGCAAGUCGUUGAUUACAUCCCUAUCCAUACAUUCAAAUUAACUAGGAUCCAAAGUUACAUCCCUUUCUGUUGAGUAGACUCAAAAUUGGCAAGUCAUUAAUUAGCACUAAAUGUGCAUUAACAAAUGCCAAACUUAUGGCCGCCAUUAAUUGUUGCUCAAAUAUAUCUUAUGUGAUUACAUUAAUUUACUUCCUUAUCUAGUGUCAGUAUUAAUUGUUAUGUGAGUUCAUCCACAUCCAAUAAACUUUUUUUAAAUGCAUGCCAUAGUGUCUAUCCAAUUCUUUUGGUUAUUAAUUAUGACUACAUCCAUAGUACGAGUUAGGGAUUUGGUGUAGGCAAUCGUAGCCAUCUAAUCUAAUAUGGCGGUUUGAGAAUUGGGUUAAUAUCUUAAAAUUAUGUCUUAAUAGGCACAAAUACAUUUAGUCUCACAAACAUAUCAAGCAAUUACUAGUUAGGACAUGUCUUUCUAGUAUGCAUAAUUACAAAACAAUACCUAUAAUCUUGUGGGAGGCGGUCUUGUUUGUCUGUAUCUAUAUGAAAUAUUAAUAUAGAAAUUUUGAUUUCAACAUUUUACCUGUUGUGUCAAUUGCAUGAUAGUUGGUAAAACAAAAAUCUUAUGUGUGUUUUGACAACCUUAAGAGUAUAUGUUGUUUUCUUCUAAACAAGAUAAUGGCUUCUAAAUACCAUGGGGUCUAAGAGAGGGUGUGCAUUCCAGAAAUCGAACGACCCAGUGCAACUGGGACAAACUCCACAUCCUAUACAUGUCAGAAUAUUAACUAUGAUACAUAGUGUAGCAUCUUAAUUAUGUGCACUAGGUGCAUUCUAAUGCCAUCCAUCCUCUCCUAGCGAGACCCAUAUCCCCAUUGAAACAACCAAAUGAAAUGUUGGUAUUGGCCAUAGGAGCCACUUCACCAUGGUCCAGAAAGUUGUCUCUCAACAAUAAAUUGUGAUAAAUAGAUAUUUCAUUUUGAUUAUUAACAAACAUAGGAUAAUAAAGUUUACACUAACAAUUUCAUUUUUACAAUUAUUAACAAUGUGCUAUGUUUGAAGUACAAAAUAAAAGGGACUUUGCGAUUUGUGAUAUCUUAUUUUAGGAAACACGACGAGUGUACAUAUAGAGAAGAUGAGCACUUCACAUGUAGUCAUUCCUUAAAAGAGAGUACACAACCUACCGAAGCUUUUUCUUAGGGUUUGGCAAAAUAGGAGGUGACCAACACUUCCCCUCUACCAGCUGAUACAUUUUCAAUGUAUCUAUAAUUUUUUAUUGUUCCAUUCUAUUAUAUUAUCAAUCUUGGAUGAUUUAUAUGCAUUUUUAUACUAUUUUAUAUCAUUUUUGGGAACUAACCUAUUAACCCGGUGCCUAGUGCCCGUUGUUGUUUUCUGCUUGUUUUUUGUUUUCCCGAAAUCGGUACCAAACGGAGUUCAAACGCUAUGAAACUUUUUGACGAUUUUUUUUCUGGACAAGAGAGACCCUAGAAGCUUCGGGAGGAGACUAGAGGACGAACAAGGAGACGGCAAGGCAACAAGGCGCGCCCUAGGGGGUGGCGUCCUAUUGCCUUAUGAGCCCCUUGAGGCUCCGUCUGACCUAAUUCCGCUUCUAUAAAUUCUCAAAUAUUUAGAAAUAAAUAGAGAGCCACCCAAAACACUUUUCCGCUACCGCAAGCUCCUGUUCCUCCACGAUCCCAUCUAGAGGCCUUUUCCAAUACUCUGCCGGAGGGGAAAUCGAUCACGGAGGCCUUCUACAUCAUCCUUGGUGCCUUCCGAUGAUGCGUGAGUAGUUGACCAUAGACGUACGGUUCUAUAUAUAGUAGCUAUUGAUAUCUACUACGCAACUUUAUUCUUGUAGACACGUGUUGGGCCUCCAAGCGCAGAGUUUUGUAGGACAAUAGCAAUUUUCCCUCAAGUGGAUGACCUAAGGUUUAUCAAUUCGUGGGAGGCGUAGGAUGAAGAUGGUCUCUCUCAAACAACCCUACAACCAAAUAAUAAAAAGUCUUUUGUGUCCCUAACACACCUAAUACAAUGGCAAGUUGUAUAGGUGCACUAGUUCGGCGAAGAGAUGGUGAUAAAAGUGUAAUAUGGAUGGUAGAAAUGUAUUUUUAUAAUCUGAAUAAAUAAAAAUAGCAAGGUAGCAAAUAAUAAACGAGUACAAAAACGGUAUUGCAAUGCUUGAAAAUGAGGCCUAGGGUCCGUACUUUCGCUAGUGCAAUCUCUCAUCAGUGCUAAUAUAAUUGGAUCAUAUUAACUUCCCUCAACGUGCAACGAAGAAUCACUCCAAACUUCCUAUCUAGCGAAGAACAUAAGACGGAAUUGUUUGUAGGGUACGAAACCACCUCAAAGCUAUUCUUUCCGAUCAAUCUAUCCUAGAGUUCGUACUAAAUUAACACGAAGUUAUUCUUUCCGAUCGAUCUAACCAAGAGUUCGUAAGAAAAUAACACCAAAGCAAAUUUAGAUUCAUAAUAUUCAAUCCAACACAAAGAACUUCAAAUAGUGCCCCAAGAUUUCUACCGGAGAACAAAGACAAGAACGUGCAUCAACCGCUAUGCAUAGAUUACCCCAAUGUCAUCUCAGGAAUCCGUGAAUUGAGUGCCAAAAUAUAUAUCAAGUGAAUCAAUAUGAUACCCCAUUGUCACCACGAGUAUUUGAUGACCCACAAGUAUAGGGGAUCUAUCGUAGUCCUUUCGAUAAGUAAGAGUGUCGAACCCAACGAGGAGCAGAAGGAAAUGAUAAGAGGUUUUCAGUAAGGUAUUCUCUGCAAGUACUGAAAUAAGUGAUAACAUAUAGUUUUGUGAUGAGAUAAUUUGUAACGAGCAACAAGUAACAAAAGUAAAUAAAGUGCAGCAAGGUGGCCCAAUCCUUUUUGUAGCAAAGGACAAGCCUGGACAAACUCUUAUAUAAGGAAAAGCGCUCCCGAGGACACAUGGGAAUAUCGUCAAGCUAGUUUUCAUCACGUUCAUAUGAUUCGCGUUCGGUACUUUGAUAAUUUGACAUGUGGGUGGACCGGUGCUUGGGUGUUGUUUUUAAUUGAACAAGCAUCCCACUUAUGAUUAACCUCUAUUGCAAGCAUCCGCAACUACAACAAAAGUAUUAAGGUAAACCUAACCAUAGCAUGAAACAUAUGGAUCCAAAUCAGCCCCUUACGAAGCACGCAUAAACUAGGGUUGAAGCUUCUGUCACUCUAGCAACCCAUCAUCUACUUAUUACUUCCCAAUGCCUUCCUCUAGGCCCAAAUAAUGGUGAAGUGCUAUGUAGUCGACGUUCACAUAACACCACUAGAGGCUAGAUAACAUACAUCUCAUCGAAAUAUCGAACGAAUACCAAAUUCACAUGACUACUAAUAGCAAGACUUCUCCCUUGUCCUCAGGAACAAAUGUAACUACUCACAAAGCAUAUUCAUGUUCAUAAUCAAAGGGGUAGUAAUAUGCAUAAAGGAUCUGAACAUAUGAUCUUCCACCAAUUAAACCAGCUAGCAUCAACUACAAGGAGUAAUUAACACUACUAGCAACCUACUAGCACCAAUCCCGGACUUGGAGACAAUAAUUGGAUACAAGAAAUGAACUAGGGUUUUGAGAUGAGAUGGUGCUGAUGAAGAUGUUGAUGGAGAUUGCCCUCUCCCGAUGAGAGGAGCGUUGGUGAUGACGAUGGCGAUGAUUUCCCCCUCCGGGAGGGAAGUUUCCCCGGCAGAACAGCUCUGCCGGAGCCCUAGAUUGGUUCCGCCAAGGUUCCGCCUCGUGGCGGCGGAGUUUCGUCCCGAAAGGUUGCUUCUCGUUUUUUUCUCGAUGAAAGACUUCAUAUAGCAGAAGAUGGUCAUCGGAGAGCCACCAGGGGGCCCACGAGGUAGGGGGGCGCCCUAGGGGGGGGGUGCCCCACCCUCGUGGACAGGGUGUGGGCCCCCUGGUCUUCAUCUUUGGCGAGGAUUUUUCAUUAUUUAUUAUAAGGUAUUCCGUGGAGUUUCAUGACUUUUGGAGUUGUGCAGAAUAGGUCUCUAAUAUUUGCUCCUUUUCCAGCCCAGAAUUCGAGCUGUCGGCAUUCUCCCUCCUUAUGUAAACCUUAUAAAAUAAGAGAGAAUAGCCAUAAGUAUUGUGACAUAAUGUGAAAUAACAGCCCAUAAUGCAAUAAAUAUCGAUAUAAAAGCAUGAUGCAAAAUGGACAUAUCACUAUUCAAUUGCAAGACAUAUACCAAGUGAUCUCAAAUCCAUAAAAGGUUUCAAUCUGAUAACAACGAAAUCUCAAAGGGAAAAACUCAAUUCAUCACAAGAAGACAGAGAGGGGAAAACACCAUAUGAUCCAACUAUAUUAACAAAGCCUGCGAUACAUCAAGAUCGUGACAUCUCAAGAACACGAGAGAGAGAGAGAGAUUAAACACAUAGCUACUAGUAUAAACCCUCAGCCCGGAGGGUGGACUACUCCCUCCUCAUCGUGGUGGCCGCCGGGAUGAUGAACAUGGCCAUCGGUGAUGAUUCCCCCCUCCGACAGGGUGCCGGAACGGGAUCUAGAUUAGUUUUUGGUGGCUACAGAGCCUUGCGGUGGCGGAACUUCUAAUCUAGGUUAACCCCGAGGGUUUCUGAAAUUUUUGGGAAUUUAUAGGUAAAGAGGGGGUGCGGGAGGCCAUCGAGGUGGGCACAACCCACCUGGGCGCGCCUGGGCCCCUAGGCGCGCCCUGGUGGGUUGUUCCCCCCUCGGGGCACCACCCAGGUGCUGCUCUGGCCCAUUGGUGGUCUUCUGGUCCAUAAAAAAUUCACAAAAAGUUUCGCGGUGUUCGGACUCCGUUUGAUAUUGAUUUCUUGCGAUGUAAGAAACAAGCAAAAAACAACAACUGACACUGAGCACUGAGUCAAUAGGUUAGUCCCAAAAAUGAUAUAAAGUUGCUAUAAAAUGAUUGUAAAACAUUCAAGAAUGAUAAAUAACAGCAUGGAUACUUCAUAAAUUAUAGAUACGUUGGAGGCGUAUCAGCUAUAUAGUAGCUAGAUGACUUCUUCUCUUUCUUUUAUCUUUAAUACAAUGUUCUCCUCGGUGUUCUUGAAGUUCCAUUCGAUGUAAUCUUCUUUUGUGGUGUGUUUGUUGGGAUUACAUGAAUUGUGGGUUUAUAAUAUGAAUAUUCAUGAGAAGUAAUUAAGUUUUUUGAAUUUUAUUAUGUGUUAUUGUUAUAGCUUUGUAUUUCUCUCUGAUCUAUCCGUUUAGUUUGGCCAACUAGAUUGAUUUAUCUUCAGUGGGAGAGGUGCUUUGUGAUGGGUUCAAUCUUACGGUGCUUUAUAUCCCAGUGAUAGAUAGGGACAAGACACAUAUUUAUACUGUUGUCAUUAAGGCUAAAACAAUGGGGUUUAUUCAUAUUGAUUGAGUUUACUUUGUCUACAUCAUGUCAUCUUGUUUAAGGUGUUACUCUAUUUUUAUGAACUUACUACCAUAUAUGCAUGCUGGAUAGCGGUCGAUUGGUGGCGUAAUAGUAGUAAAUGCAAGCAGGAGUCGGUUUACUUGUCUCGGACGUGAUGCCUAUAUAUAUGAUCAUUGCCUUGAAUAUCGUCAUAACUAUGCGCUUUUCUAUUAAUUGACCAACAAUAAUUUGUUCACCCAUCGUAUGCUAUGUGCUCGAGAGAGAAGCCUUUAGUGAAAACUAUGACCCCCGGGUCUACUUAUUUAUAUAAAAAAUCCAAAAUACCUUUGCUGUAAUUUUAUUUUAUUUUAUUUAUUUUACAAUUUAUGUAUCUACCACUCUGAGAUUUGGUCCUUGCAAUUAACGAAUUCAAGGGGAUUAACAACCCUCUUGCCCGCGUUGGGUGCAAGUAUUUGCUUUUGUGUAUGCAUGUGUUGUUCGUGAGGCUUUACGUGAUUCUCCUAUUGGUUCGAUAAACCUUAGUUCUCACUGAGAGAAAUAUUUAUGUCUAUAGUACUGCAUCUCCUUUUCUUUUCGAGAAAAAUCCCAACACAACUCAUAAGUAGCUUGAAGAAUCCCAUCACCAGGUGACUGAUGUCGGGCUAGGAGUGGAAGGAGGUACCUUCCACUCCUCCUACCGUGGCUGGGUGCUCGCGACGUGGAUGGUUGGUGGUUUCUAGGGGCGUGGAUGUCGGGGUUGCGGGCUCCAGCUUGGCUUUCAGGCAGGCUCCAUGUGUGGUGGUGGCUCUACCUCUUGGUCGUGUGGGCGGCAAAGGGUGUACUGGCGGGAGGCUCUGCUAUCCUUUGGCAGUGCCUAAGAUCUGGUAUGGAUGGCUUAGCCCUCAUUGCGGUGGUGAUCGGGAUUCCUCCUCGUAGUGUUGCUGAGUUUUCGAGCAAAAACUUUGUGCUAUCCGGCGCCGACAGUGACGGCACCCAUUGGUGCCGCUUGCUUUCUAAAGAUGUUGUCUUGGGUCUCGUUUGUGUGUCGGGCUUCAGGUGAAAACCUCUGUCUGUUUGCUCGAGCUCGGCUCCGACGGCAUCAUGGAACUUAGGUGUUGUCGACGGAUCUUGGCGGGGUGUUAAACUUGUUCUAGGCUCAUGUUUUUAUAGUUUGAUCUGUUAAAAAACAUUAUCACCACAUUAGUGUUGUUUGGUUGCUUUACAUAUAAAGCAGAGCAAAAAAUCUAUUUCGAGUAAAACUAGCGCUUAAGGCAUCUACAGACGAACUUGUCGAAUCCGUCCCCUUAAACGCCCGCUGACGCACUCGGGCGCGUCCGCGGGCAGUGACCGGGCAUGCUUGAAAUUUCAACAGUUGCAUUUGGACAUUUCAUACUAGAUUCUCAAAUCCACACAAAGAUAUGCAAACUAAAAUAAACCUAUGUACUACGUCGAUCACCUAGCUACUCGUCGUUGGAGAUGUUGACGAUCUCCGUGCCCGGCUCCGACAGGAUGGGCGGCAGCUGUAGCUCCGGCUCCUCCGGCUGCUCCGCUCCGGCCUCCUCCACCUCUAUCUCCGCGUCGAGUUCGGUGAAGAGCGUGCCGGACUACGCAUGCCCCUGCCGGAGAACACCCGGUUGGCCUCCAUAUAGGCCUCAUACUGGAUGGACUCCAGGAUGGCCUGCUGCUUCGCCAUCUUGUCGGACUGGGCGACGGCGAACUCCACCUUCGCCUCCUUCGUUUCCGCGUGGACCCCGCCAUCAGACCUACGUGGCGGGCAUGCCCGCACGUCCUCAUAUCCGUCCUAUAUUUGGGCUGGAUACGAGGGGUGCUGGUCAAUCCAGACGUUUGAGACCCGUUUAAGAUGCUCGUCUGAGUCGAAAAACAUGACCGAUUAGUAACCAGACGGACCGUUCGGAUACGUAUGAUGCGGGUUUGAGACGCGCCGAUGCAAAUGCUCUAAUAGCGGACAGUCGACCGGCAAGCGUUCAAGCCGAGGCGUGCAGGUGCAGAACACAACUGCUCAGAUUGCCCUCUUGCGUUAUCCGAUCGAGAGCAAAACAGAAUUUCUCGGGCGCCCUGGAUGCGUGUCAUAGGGUGGGUGAACGCCGCUCACAUUCCCAAUGGCAUUCUUUAGUGGCAGAUACCACUGCCAACCCCAAGAGCAGGCGAUGCUACAAUGGAGUCGAUUAUUCAACAACCAAAUUUCAGUGUCAACUUGGACACUUGGUGCAUAUAAAUUGUACCCGCGGUGACCUGUGCAUGGCCGGAGCGUUGUCCUGAAUGGUUGGGAUCACACGAGCGAUCUCGCCGCCUUUCAAAUUGCGCCUUCAUUCAACGUGACGUGCCCUGGAUAAGCUCAGGCACCGGGUGCCAGGAGGCAGUAGCGUUGGCCAUUCCAGCAUGCGUGCCACGCUAGGCCAGGGUUGCAGUUGCAAAGGAGAUGUAUCUGGUCGGUGUGCGUGUGUGUACUGUUCGGUGGACCUGAGGAAGACGAGUCAGCUUCAUAGUCAUGCGGUCGCCGUGGAAGGAUGCAUGUGAAUGUACUACAAGUUUGACCAUUCUUCCUGCCCUCUGUCAUCUCGAUUACUCUGUUUUCUCCGCUCUUCUUAUUCGAGUUAUUCUUUUUUUCUUUUUGCGUCAAGUAAGCAAGUUUGUACUUCCUUCGUUUCUAAAUAUUUGUUUUUUUAAAGAUUUCAACAAAUGACUACUCCCUCCGUCCGAAAAUACUUGUCAUCAAAAUGGAUGUUCAUCCAUUUUGAUGACAAGUAUUUUCGGACGGAGGAAGUACACAUGAAGCAAAAUGAGUGAAUCUACACUCUAAAAUAUGUCUAUAUACAUCCGUACGUGGUAGUUCAUUUAAAUUCUCUAAAAAAUAAAUAUUUAGCAACAAAGGGAAUAUGAUUUUUGUCGUGGGUGUUGAACAUGAGUGGCGGAUGUGAGGUUACCGGGAUGAGCAGUCAUGUGAGCGGUGGCGCCCGAGUCCAUGUACCAGUCACCGCCGCCACCGUAGGAGCUUGGUGACGGGGCGGAGUGCAGAGCAGCGAGAAGGGCCGGGUCCCACGACGGCGGCACCUGGGGAGGGAGAAACCCUCCGUAGGCCGGCGCGGGAGCGGCGCCGUAGGCGGGAGCGGGUGCGGGCACGGCGCAAUAGCCGCUGUAGGGGGCGGCGUUCUGCGCGGUGAAGAGCGCCUGGUGGCUCGCCGGCCGAGGCCCAAGGAUGCCCAGAGCGGGAGCCCGAGGAACCGGCAUCGAGUACGCGUGUACGACGCCCGUCCAUGGGUUGGUGCCGUAAGUCCAGAGCGGGGUNNNNNNNNNNNNNNNNNNNNNNNNNNNNNNNNNNNNNNNNNNNNNNNNNNNNNNNNNNNNNNNNNNNNNNNNNNNNNNNNNNNNNNNNNNNNNNNNNNNNNNNNNNNNNNNNNNNNNNNNNNNNNNNNNNNNNNNNNNNNNNNNNNNNNNNNNNNNNNNNNNNNNNNNNNNNNNNNNNNNNNNNNNNNNNNNNNNNNNNNNNNNNNNNNNNNNNNNNNNNNNNNNNNNNNNNNNNNNNNNNNNNNNNNNNNNNNNNNNNNNNNNNNNNNNNNNNNNNNNNNNNNNNNNNNNNNNNNNNNNNNNGGGUGGGGCAGGGGGCACUGGCGGGAGGGGGUAAAACCUCGGAGGCGCUGGGGGCGCCGGCUGGUGACGGGGCGCAGGCAUGGUACGGCUCCAACGUAUCUAUAAUUUUUGAUUGCUCCAUCCUAUAUUAUCUACUGUUUUGAAUGUUUAUGGGCUUUAUUAUAUAUUUUUAUAUCAUUUUUUGAGAUUAACCUAUUAACCCAGAGCCCAGUGACAGUUUCUGUUUUUACCCUGUUUUAGAGUUUCAAAGAAAAGUAAAAUCAAACGGAGUCCAAUUGAUCUGAAACUUCACGAAACUCAUUUUUGGAAGGAAAAAAGCCCAGAAGACUUGGAGUGCACGUCGGGGGAUCUGCGAGGAGGUCAUGAGGCAGGGGGCGCGCCCACCCCCUGGGCGCGCCCUCCACCCUCGUGAGCCCCUCGUGGCCCCCCUGAUGUACUUCUUCCACCUAUAUAUAUCUCCAUAUACCCUAAAAACAUCCGAGAUCAUAAUAGAUCGGGAGUUCCGCCGCCAGAAGCCUCCGUAGCCACCGAAAGUCAAUCUAGACCCGUUCCGGCACCCUACCGGAGGAGCAAUCCUUCUCCGGUGGUCAUCUUCAUCAUCCCGGUGCUCUCCAUGACGAGGAAGUAGUUCUCCCUCAGGGCUGAGGGUAUGUACCAGUAGCUAUGUGUUUGAUCUCUCUCUCUCUCUCUCUCUCUCUCUCUCUCUCUCUCGUGUUCUUGAGAUGGUACGAUCUUGAUGUAUCGCGAGCUUUACUAUUAUAUUUGGAUCCUAUGAUUUUUCUCCUCCCCCUCUACUCUCUUGUAAUGAAUUGAGUUUUCCCUUUGAAGUUAUCUUAUCGGAUUGAGUCUUUAGAGAUUUGAGAACACUUGAUGUAUGUCUUGCCGUGCGUAUCUGUGGUGACAAUGGGAUACCACGUGAUUCACUUGAUGUAUGUUUUGGUGAUCAACUUGCGGGUUCCGCCCAUGAACCUAUACAUAGGGGUUGGCACACGUUUUCGUCGUGAUUCUCCGGUAGAACUUUGGGGCACUCUUUGAGGUCCUUUGUGUUGGUUGAAUAGAUGAAUCUGAGAUUGUGUGAUGCAUAUCGUAUAAUCAUAUCCACGGAUACUUGAGGUGACAUUGGAGUAUCUAGGUGACAUUAGGGUUUUGGUUGAUUUGUGUCUUAAGGUGUUAUUCUAGUAUGAACUCUAGGGCUGUUUGUGACACUUAUUGGAAUAGCACAACGGAUUGAUUGGAAAGAAUAACUUUGAGGUGGUUUCGUACCCUACCAUAAUCUCUUCGUUUGUUCUCCGCUAUUAGUAACUUUGGAGUGACUCUUUGUUGCAUGUUGAGGGAUAGUUAUGUGAUCCAAUUAUGUUAUUAUUGUUGAGAGGACUUGCACUAGCGAAAGUAUGAACCCUAGGCCUUAUUUCCACACAUUGCAAUAUCGUUUACGCUCACUUUUAUCACUUGCUACCUUGCUGUUUUUAUAAUUUCAGUUUACAAAUACCUUUAUCUACUAUCCAUAUACCACUUGUUUCACCAUGUCUUCGCCGAACUAGUGCACCUAUACAAUUUACCGUUGUAUUGGGUGUGUUGGGGACACAAGAGACUCUUUGUUAUUUGGUUGCAGGGUUGCUUGAGAAAGACCAUCUUCAUCCUACGCUUCCUACGGAUUGAUAAACCUUAGGUCAUCCACUUGAGGGAAAUUUGCUACUGUCCUACAAACCUCUGCACUUGGAGGCCCAACAAUGUCUACAAGAAGAAGGUUGUGUAGUAGACAUCAAGCUUUUUUCUGGCGCCAUUGCCGGGGAGGUUAGCGCUUGAAGGUAUAACUUUAGAUCUUGCAAUCGAGUCUUUUAGUUUCUUGUUUUAUCACUAGUUUAGUUUAUAAAAGAAAACUAUAAAAAAUGGAAUUGAGUUUGUCUCAUACGCUUCACCUUUUUAAUAUUUUUCGUGAGUAUGAUAGGAAGGAUAAUUGUGCUCAAGUGCUAGAAGAAGAAAUCUAUAAAAUGUUUGGCACUAAAUCUUUGAAUGAUGAGCAUGAUUGCAAUGUUGUUAGUACAAAUUCUUUGAAUAUCCAUGAUACUAAUGAUGAUUGUACUAGUUAUGAUGAAAAUGUCUCCUAUAAACAUGUCAAUUUUUGUGGUGUGCAUUGGGUUUGUAAGUAUACACCAAAUAGGGAAGAUAGAUAUUGCAUGAGGCAUAAGUACUUAGAAACUAAAUUGUUGCAAGAAUGGCUAGAUGAUUGUGCUGAAACUUUAAAUUUUCUUGGCCAUACUUGUGAGCUUUGUAUUGAACGUGGUCAUUUAAUUAUCCGAUGCAAAUUGUUUCAUGAUCUAACCGUGUCCAAAAAUUGUGAUGACUUGAUUUCCCUUGCACAUUAUAAUGAACUUAGUUUGCUUAUGGGCUACGAAGAAAUGAAACGUAUAACUAAGGAUAUUCCAAAAUUUGCCCUUGAUAGAGUUCUUCAUUUUGACUUAGAGGAAAUUUAUAUGUAUUGUGCGGUGAAUUGCAUUGAAAAUCCUUAUAUUGCCAAUUACAUAAAGAAAAGAAAAUAAACAGAAGAUGAAGAGAAUACUAAUGAAUGGGAAGAGACCUCCCAAUAUUCUCCUAUUAUUUCUUAUGAUGAAUCAGGUAACGAGGAGGAGCCUCCUAUUCAACCAAUCUCAUUAAUAAGGAGCUCCAAAAAGAGGAUUGAACCCACACAUGAUGUGGUGAAGAAAAAGAAAAUAAAAAGGAAGAGAGGUAAAAAGAUAUCACUCCCAAAUAAUGUUGCUCCUAUUACUAUUGUGCCUCAUGAAAAUAUAGUUGUGGAAGAUAAUGAUGCUUCUUAUGAUCUUGAAAAUCUUUUUGGCACUUGCUUGGAAGAAUAUGAUAAUUGCUAUACUAUUGGUGCUAUAUAUACUAUUAAUGAUGAGAGUGAUUAUGCUUAUGAUAUGAAAAGGCCCAAGCUUGGGGAUGCUAUGUUUGAUGAAUAUGAUGUUUUUGAGAAUAUAUUUGCUGCAAUUAUGUCUGUCCCAAGCUUGGGGAUGCUACGCUCAAUGAAGAUGAUAUUUUUUGUCCCCCAAGUUUUGAUGAGCAAAUUUAUUAUGAUGAAAGCAUGCCUCCUAUCUAUGAUGAUUAUUGUGAUGAAACGUAUGCUUUAAAGAAUAAUAAUAACAAUGAACCUUGUCAUCUUGAUCUUAAUUUUCAAUCACAUGAUAGUUAUUUUGUUGAGUUUGCUCCCACUAUUAUUCAUGAGAAAAUUUUUGCUUAUGUGAAGAGUAGUAAAUUUUCUACGCUUGUAGAUCAUGAAAACAAUGCUUUAAGUGCUGGUUAUAUUGUUGAAUUCAUUCAUGAUGCUACUGAAAAUUAUUAUGAGGGAGGAAUAUAUGCUUGUAGGAAUUGCAAUAAUAUCAAGUUUCAUCUCUAUGUGCUUAAAAUUUUGAAGUUAUGCUUGUUUUACCUUCCUAUGCAAGUUGAUUAUUGUUCCCAUAAGUUGUUUGAUCACAAAACCCCUAUGCAUAGGAAGUAUGUUAGACUUAAAUGUGCUAGUCAUAUUCUUCAUGAUUCUCUCUUUAUGUUUCAAUUCUUAUCUUUUAUGUGAGCAUCGUUGAAAUCAUCAUGCCUAGCUAAGGGCGUUAAACGAUAGCGCUUGUUGGGAGGCAACCCAAUUUUAUUUUGGUCCCUUGAUUUUUUAUCCUGUUUAGUAAUAAAUAAUUUAUCUAUCCUCUGUUAUGAUUGAGUUUUUAUGUUUUAAUUAGUGUUUGUGCCAAGUAGAACCGUUGGAAAGACUCGGGGAAAGUCUUGUUGAUCAUGCUGUCAAAAACAGAAACUUUAGCGCUCACGAGAAUUGAUGCCAUUUUUAUUUGGAGAGUGAUAUUUAGUUAAUUCUUUUUGGAGAUGAUUAAUAGAUAAAUUCCUCAGGUCCAGAAAUUUAUUUGAGAGUUUUAUGAUUUCCAUAAGUAUACAUUUGAUUCAGAUUACUACAGACUGCUCUGUUUUUGACAGAUUCUGUUUUUCGUGUGUUAUUUGCUUAUUUUGAUGAAUUUAUGAGUAGUAUCGGAGGGUAUGAACCAUAGAUAAGUUGGAAUACAGUAGGUUUAACACAAAUAUAAAUUAAGAAUGAGUUCAUUACAGUACCUUGAAGUGGUGAUUUAUUUUCUUAUACUAACGGAGCUUACGAGUUUUAUGUUAAGUUUUGUGUUGUGAAGUUUUCAAGUUUUGGGUAAGGAUUCGAUGGACUAUGGAAUAAGGAGUGGCAAGAGUCUAAGAUUGGGGAUGCCCAAGGCACCCCAAGGUAAUAUUCAAGGAUAGCCAAGAGCCUAAGCUUGGGGAUGCCCCGGAAGGCAUCCCCUCUUUCGUCUUCGUUCAUCGGUAACUUUACUUGAAGCUAUAUUUUUAUUCACCACAUGAUAUGUGUUUUGCUUGAAGCGUCAUUUUAUUUUAUUUUGUUUUGCUUGCUGUUUGAAUAAAAUAUCAAGAUCUGAAAUUUUUAAAUUUUAGAGAGUCUUCACAUAGUUGCAUAAUUAUUCGACUACUCACUGAUCUUCACUUAUAUCUUUCGGAGUAGUUUGUCAUUUGCUCUAGUGCUUCACUUAUAUCUUUUAGAGCAUGGUGGUAGUUUUAUUUUGAAGAAAUAGAUGAACUCUCAUGCUUCACUUGGAUUAUUUUGAGAGUCUUAAUAGCAUGGUAAUUUUCUUAAAAUCCUAAUAUGCUAGGUAUACAAGAUUAGUAAAAACUUUCAUAUAGAGUAUUGAAUACUAAGAGAAGUUUGAUGCUUGAUGAUUGUUUUGAGAUAUGGAGGUAAUAAUAUCAAAGUCGUGCUAGUUGAUUAGUUGUGAAUUUGAGGAAUAAUUGUGUUGAAGUUUGCAAGUCCCGUAGCAUGCACGUUUGAUAAACGUUGUGUAACAAAUUUGAAACAUGAGGUGUUAUUUGAUUGUCUUCCUUAUGACUGGCGGUCGGGGACGAGCGAUGGUCUUUUCCUACCAAUCUACCCCCCUAGGAGCAUGCGCGUAGUGCCGAGGUUUUUGAUGACUUGUAGAUUUUUGCAAUAAGUAUGUGAGUUCUUUAUGACUAAUGUUGAGUCCAUGGAUUAUACACACUCUCACCCUUCCAUCCUUGCUAGCCUCUUUGGUACCGUGCAUUGCCCUUUCUCACAUUGAGAGUUGGUGCAAACUUCGCCGGUGCAUCCAAACCCCGUGAUAUGAUACGCUCUUUCGCACAUAAACCUCCUUAUAUCUUUCUCAAAACAGCCACCACACCUACCUAUUAUGGCAUUUCCAUAGCCAUUCCGAGAUAUAUUGCCAUGCAACUUUCCAUCAUUUCGUUCAUCAUGACACAUUCAUCAUUGUCAUAUUGCUUAGUAUGAUCAUGUAGUUGAUAUAGUAUUUGUGGCAAAGCCACCGUUCAUAAUUCUUUCAUACAUGUCACUCUUGAUUCAUUGCAUAUCCCGAUACACCGCCGGAGGCAUUCAUAUAGAGUCAUCUUUGUUCUAGUAUCGAGUUGUAAUCAUUGAGUUGUAAAUAAAUAGAAGUGUGAUGAUCAUCAUUAUUAGAGCAUUGUCCCAAGUGAGGAAUAAAAAAAGGCCAUUAAAAAAAGAUAAGGCCCCCCAAAAAAGAGAAAGGCCAUAAAAAGGCCCAAAAAAUGAGAGAAAAAGAGAGAAGGGACAAUGUUACUAUCCUUUUACCACACUUGUGCUUCAAAAUAGCACCAUGAUCUUCAUAGUAGAGAGUCUCUCAUGUUAUCACUUUUAUAUACUUGUGGGAAUUUUUCAUUAUAGAACUUGGCUUGUAUAUUCCAACAAUGGGCCUCCUCAAGUGCCCUAGGUCUUCGUGAGCAAGCAAGUUGGAUGCGCACCCACUAGUUUCUUUUGUUGAGCUUUCAUACAUUUAUAGCUCUAGUGCAUCCGUUAAAUGGUAAUCCCUACUCCUUGCAUUAACAUCAAUCGGUGGGCAUCUCCAUAGCCCAUUGAUUAUCCUCGUUGAUGUGAGACUUUCUCCUUUUUGUCUUCUCCAGAUAACCCCCUCAUUAUUCUAUUCCACCCAUAGUGCUAUAUCCAUGGCUCGCGCUCAUGUAUUGCGUGAAAGUGUAUGAGUUUGAGAUUACUAAAGUAUGAAACAAUUGCUUGGCUUGUCAUCGGGGUUGUGCAUGAUGAGAGUAUUCUUGUGUGACGAAAAUAAACAUGACUAAACUAUAUGAUUUUGUAAGGAUGAACUUUCUUCAGCCAUGUUAUUUUGAGAAGACAUAAUUGCUUAGUUAGUAUGCUUGAAGUAUUAUCAUUUUUAUGUCAAUAUGAACUUUUGUCUUGAAUCUUUCGGAUCUGAAUGUUCAUACCACAAUUAAGAAGAAUUACAUUGAAAUUAUGCCAAGUAGCACUCCGCAUCAAAAAUUCUGUUUUUAUCAUUUACCUACUCGAGGACGAGCAUGAAUUAAGCUUGGGGAUGUUGAUACGUCUCCAACGUAUCUAUAAUUUUUGAUUGCUCCAUGCUAUAUUAUCUACUGUUUUGAAUGUUUAUGGGCUUUAUUAUACACUUUUAGAUUAUUUUUUGGGACUAACCUAUUAACCCAGAGCCCAGUGCCAGUUUCUGUUUUUACCCUGUUUUAGGGUUUCGAAGAAAAGGAAAAUCAAAUGGAGUCCAAUUGACCUGAAACUUCAGGGAACUCAUUUUUGGAAGGAAAGAAGCCCAAAAGACUUGGAGUGCACGUCGGGGGAUCUGCGAGGAGGUCACGAGGCAGGGGGGGCGCCCACCCCCUGGGCGUGCCUUCCACCCUCGUGAGCCCCUCGUGGCCCCCUUGACGUAUUUCUUCCGCCUAUAUAUCUCCAUAUACCCUAAAAACAUCCGAGAUCAUAAUAGAUCGGGAGUUCCGCCGCCAGAAGCCUCCGUAGCCACCGAAAGCCAAUCUAGACCUGUUCCGGCACCCUGCCGGAGGGGCAAUCCUUCUCCGAUGGCCAUCUUCAUCAUCCCGGUGCUCUCCAUGACGAGGAGGGAGUAGUUCUCCCUCAGGGCUGAGGGUAUGUACCAGUAGCUAUGUGUUUGAUCUCUCUCUCUCGUGUUCUUGAGGUGGUACGAUCUUGAUGUAUCACGAGCUUUGCUAUUAUAUUUCGAUCCUAUGAUGUUUCUCCUCCCCCUCUACUCUCUUGUAAUGAAUUAAGUUUUCCCUUUGAAGUUAUCUUAUUGGAUUGAGUCUUUAGAGAUUUGAGAACACUUGAUGUAUGUCUUGCCGUGCGUAUCUGUGGUGACAAUGGGAUACCACAUGAUUCACUUGAUGUAUGUUUUGGUGAUCAACUUGCGGGUUCCGCCCAUGAACCUAUGCAUAGGGGUUGACACACGUUUUCGUCGUGAUUCUCCGGUAGAACUUUGGGCCACUCUUUGAGGUCCUUUGUGUUGGUUGAAUAGAUGAAUCUGAGAUUGUGUGAUGCAUAUCGUAUAAUCAUACCCACGGAUACUUGAGGUGACAUUGGAGUAUCUAGGUGACAUUAGGGUUUUGGUUGAUUUGUGUCUUAAGGUGUUAUUCUAGUACGAACUCUAGGGCUGUCUGUGACACUUAUAGGAAUAGCCCAACGGAUUGAUUGGAAAGAAUAACUUUGAGGUGGUUUCGUACCCUACCAUAAUCUUUUUGUUUGUUCUCAGCUAUUAGUGACUUUGGAGUGACUCUUUGUUGCAUGUUGAGGGAUAGUUAUGUGAUCCAAUUAUGUUAUUAUUGUUGAGAUGACUUGCACUAGCGAAAGUAUGAACCCUAGGUCUUAUUUCCACACAUUGCAAUACCGUUUACGCUCACUUUUAUCACUUUCUACCUGAAGGAAAUAUGCCCUAGAGGCAAUAAUAAAGUUAUUAUUUAUUUCCUUAUAAUCAUGAUAAAUGAUUAUUAUUCGUGCUAGAAUUGUAUUAACCGGAAACAUAAUACAUGUGUGAAUACAUAGACAAACAAAGUGUCACUAGUAUGCCUCUACUUGACUAGCUCGUUAAUCAAAGAUGGUUAUGUUUCCUAACCAUAGACAAAGGAGUUGUUAUUUGAUUAACGGGAUCACAUCAUUAGUUGAAUGAUCUGAUUGACAUGACCCAUUCCAUUAGCUUAGCACCUGAUCGUUUAGUAUGUUGCUAUUGCUUUCUUCAUGACUUAUACAUGUUCCUAUGACUAUGAGAUUAUGCAACUCCCGUUUGCCGGAGGAACACUUUGGGUGCUACCAAACGUCACAACGUAACUGGGUGAUUAUAAAGGAGCAUUACAGGUGUCUCCAAAGGUAGAUGUUGGGUUGGCGUAUUUCGAGAUUAGGAUUUGUCGCUCCGAUUGUCGGAGAGGUAUCUCUGGGCCCUCUCGGUAAUGCACAUCACUUAAGCCUUGCAAGCAUUGCAACUAAAUGAGUUAGUUGCGGGAUGAUGCAUUACAGAACGAGUAAAGAGACUUGCCGGUAACGAGAUUGAACUAGGUAUUGGAAUACCGACGAUCGAAUCUCGGGCAAGUAACAUACCGAUGACAAAGGGAACGACGUAUGUUGUUAUGCGGUCUGACCGAUAAAGAUCUUCGUAGAAUAUGUAGGAGCCAAUAUGGGCAUCCAGGUCCCGCUAUUGGUUAUUGACCGGAGACGUGUCUCGGUCAUGUCUACAUUGUUCUCGAACCCGUAGGGUCCGCACGCUUAAGGUUACGAUGACAGUUAUAUUAUGAGUUUAUGCAUUUUGAUGUACCGAAGGUUGUUCGGAGUCCCGGAUGUGAUCACGGACAUGACGAGGAGUCUCGAAAUGGUCGAGACACAAAGAUUGAUAUAUUGGAAGCCUAUGUUUGGAUAUCGGAAGUGUUCCGGGUGAAAUCGGGAUUUUACCGGAGUACCGGGAAGGUUACCGGAACCCCCCGGGAGCUAAAUGGGACAUGAUGGGCCUUAGUGGAAAAGAGAAGAGGCAGCCCUACAUGGGCUGCGCGCCUCCUCCUUCCCCUAGUCCUAUUAGGACUAGGAGAGGUGGCCGGCCCCCUCUCUUUCUUUUCGCCCUCCGCGAAUCCUAUUCCAACUAGGAUUGGGCGGGGGGGGGGGGGGAAUCCUACUCCCAGAGGGAGUAGGACUCUCCUGGCGCGCCACACCUUGGCCGGCCAGCCUCCCCCCCUCUAGUCCUUUAUAUACUGAGGUAGAGGCACCCUAGAACACAAAAGUUGAUCCACGUGAUCUAUUCCUUAGCCGUGUGCGGUGCCCCCUGCCACCAUAGUCCUCGAUAAUACUAUAGCGGAGUUUAGGCGAAGCCCUGCUGCUGUAGUACAUCAAGAUCGUCACCACGCCGUCGUGCUGACGGAACUCUUCCCCGACACUUUGCUGGAUCGGAGUCCGGGGAUCGUCAUCGAGCUGAACGUGUGCUCGAACUCGGAGGUGCCGUAGUUUCGGUGCUUGAUCGGUUGGAUCGUGAAGACGUACGACUACUUCCUCUACGUUGUGUUAUCGCUUCCGCAGUCGGUCUGUUUGGGUACGUAGACAUCACUCUCCCCUCUCGUUGCUAUGCAUCACAUGAUCUUGCGUGUGCGUAGGAAUUUUUUUGAAAUUACUACGAAACCCAACACUACCUUGCUGUUUUUAUAAUUUCAGUUUACAAAUACCUUUAUCUACUAUCCAUAUACCACUUGUUUCACCAUCUCUUCGCCGAACUAGUGCACCUAUACAAUUUACCGUUGUAUUGGGUGUGUUGGGGACCAAGAGACUCUUUGUUAUUUGGUUGCAGGGUUGCUUGAGAGAGACCAUCUUCAUCCUACGCCUCCUACGGAUUGAUAAACCUUAGGUCAUCCACUUGAGGGAAAUUUGCUACUUUUCUACAAACCUCUGCACUUGGAGGCCCAACAACGUCUACAAGAAGAAGGUUGUGUAGUAGACAUCAAGGCACGGGCGGAGCGGCCAGUGCAGGGGCACCACGCGAGGUGCCGGCGGUGAGGGCGUGGUGCUGCACACGCUUCUUGACCCCCUUCAUCCGGCGCUCCUCCAACCGCAAGUAUGCCACAAACUUGGGGAAGGAGGGCUCCAGCAUGAGGGAGAGGUUGGAGGCGGCGUUACCGAAGUCCUCGUUGAGGCCGGCCGUGAGCGUGCUGAGGAGGAGGUCGUCAUCAACCUUGGCGCCAAUGUCACAGAGCUCAUCCAUCAACGUCUUCAGACGGCGGUAGUAGUCAUCGAUUGACUGAUCAUCCUGAUGACAGUCAAAAAAUUCCUGCUGCAAAAACACACGACGCUGAAGCUUGUUGUCGGUGAAGAGGCCGUUGAGCUUGACCCACACAGCGCGGGCGUCAUCACCAUCGCUCACGACCGUGUGAAACAGGUCCUUCGAGAUGGUGGUGAAGAACCACCGGAUGAGCGUGGCGUCGAUCGCGGUCCACUCGGAGUCGCCCACCAUGGCGCGGGAGUCGACGGAGCCGUCAACGUGAUCCACGAGGUUGUUCUCGCGGAAGAGCAGCGAGAAGUACGUCUUCCACGCGAAGUACGUGGCGUCGGUGGCAUCAAGGACGACGGGGACGCGGUCGUGGAUGUUGAUGUCGCGGAUGUCAGCGGGGUCUGGCUCGGCAAAGGGGUUGUAGGAGGAAGAGCCGGUGGAAGUCAUAGUGAUGCGGGGAAGGGAGCGGAGCGGCGGCUCGGGCGAUCUACACGCGGGCAAGCAACGCCGUAGCGAGCGCUGCUGCGGGCGGCUGCUCGGGCGAUCUACGCGCGGGCAAGCGGCGCGGUAGCGAGCAAUGCAGCGGGUGGCGGCUGGCUCGGGCGAUCUACACGCGGGCGUAGCGUAGCGUGCGGGCUGGCGACGUGGAGGGAUCGGGAUCGGGAGGCUAGCUAGCGGCACGGCGUGGCAUGAAGCGAGCGAGCGGCGCAUCGUCCAAGUGGGAUCGGGGUUGGCGGCUAGCGGGAUGGAUACGGCACGGCGCGACGCGGAACAGGCAGGAGCGGCGCAGGAGAGUGGGUGGGGAGGCGGCGGCGACGGCUAGAGUUAGGCGGAAGCGGAAGAUGAUCGACUUGCAAUAGAUACCAUGUGAAGAAUGAUUUGGUGCAUCGAUAAUAAUUGAUCGUGCAUUGGGCACAUAUAUAUAGGUACAAGGGGUGCGACCGGUGUCUUAUCUCCCAAGAUACAAGUACAUAUAGGGAGAGAGAGACACUACAGUUGCGGCAUACAAAACCUAGACCUACGUACAUGUAUACAUGUUCAACAGUGGGAAAGUAGAUUUUGGAUGACAAGUCGUAAUAUGGAACUACGAAGCCUUUGAUCGGUACUCCCUUGAGUUUCGUUUGUUGUAAGAUUUAGAUCACUGAUCUCUUCAUAACUACUUUCUUCGUCUGAAAAAAUUUGUCUCUUAAAUAAAUGUAUCUAGUAUUAAUCUGAUGCUAGAUACAUCCAUUUAGGAGACAAAUUUAAGACAAAUUUUUUCAGAUGGAGUGAGUACAUCCUAGUAAGUAGGCACUGGCCCUUUAUAACUAGUCCCUCCGUCCUAUCAUGUAAAUGUUUUUACAAGUUAUGUUAGCUCGUAAAAAUAUCUUAUAUUGUGAGAUUGAGGGAGUAAUCUUUUUAAUUUGCACUUUAAACUAGUAAGUAUAUACUUACUGCCUUUUUCUUCUCAAUGUCAGUCUGAAUAUUGUGACGUCUGCCCGUAUUUAUCAUAGCUACAACCCAUUCGGAUAAUCUGAAAAAUUGUGAUUUCUAAAUAUGGUGGUUGUUUCGACUUUCUAACUAUAAAGCCAUGUUCGGUUAAUCCCCUCACCACAGGGAUUGAAGGGGAUUGGAGAGGUUUGAGGGAGAUUUUGACUUGCAAGGGAUUUAAUCCCUUUCAAACCCCUCCAAUCCAUGCCUAACCGAACAAGGCCUAAAUGAGUAAGCGUUCUCCCCUGUGGCGGCUGCAUUUCAAGACGACUGUUAGUACUUGUGCCGCGAGUUUGUGCAUUUCUCCAUUGAGCAGGACGACUGUUAGUAAUUAUGCCAUGAGUUUGUGCAUUUCUCCAUUGAACACUGCCCUGGUGAAGACAAAUAAUGUUUUUUUUUGAAACAAGGCAAAAGACUUGCCAUUUUAUUGAUUAAGAAGAAGAUUUAGACAUAAUCCGUAAAACGACAGAAACAAAGGAAAGACUACUCUCAUGACAUAAGAUUACUCAGGUGGCUCGCUCCAGCCAACGACCAAAGUCGGGCCUCCUCUUUGAUCUUCGCGACAAUGACAGUGGUCGGGGUGGCCGUGUUGCGGAAGACUCUCGCAUUUCGCUCCUUCCAAAUUUCCCACGAGACAAGUAUCAUAACGGAGGCAAUCGCCCUCUUGAUGUGUCCUCCAGAGUUGAUCGUCUUGAGCCACCAAUCCUUGACGGAGAUCUCAUGACGCCAAGCCGUCGUCGAUUGGCCAUGAAUGCCAAGCCAAGCGAUGAUUUCGUUCCAAACUCGGGCACUAUAUCUGCAUUGGAAGAGAAUGUGAGGAGCUGACUCCUGAACCUGCUUGCAAAGGGGGCAGAAGCCGCAAUUCGGCCAUCCCCGCCGUUGCAACCGAUCGGCCCGUCCACACACGAUUUUGGAUGAUCAACCAAGAAAAAAAUUUGCAUUUCGGCGGAGCUCAAGUCUUCCAUAUCGUGGUAGAGGUCGGGCUGAGAACUUGUCCUGCAAACUGCACCAUGUAAGCAGUGGCCGCUGAAUAUUCAUUGGUGGAGGUGAAUUUAAUUUCAAUGUAUGGUGUCCUCCCUAUCCAGGCUGAGAGUAACAUCCUGAAGCAUUCCCCAAAGGUUGGCGAACUCCUGGAUAUGGGCCAAGGAGAGGUCCUGAGUAGCGUCGAUCUGACUGACCCAGAAGUUGUUAUCAAGCGCUUUGCUGACUGAACACGCCUUCCUCUUAGAUAUCUCAAAGAUCUUGGGCGCGGCAUCUUUUGGUCUGAGGCCAUUCAGCCAUGACGAUUCCCAGAAUCUUGCCUUUUUACCAUCACCAAUGGUCACACUCGUGAACGUCGCAAAGAGAUCUCUGUCAGCAUUGCUACAGGGUGUCUCCAUUCCAGCCCAAGUUUUGGGGAGGUCAACCCACUCGAACCAAAGCCAACGUAGUCGAAGGGCGGCGGCAAAAUUUUGGAGGUUUAGCACACCCAAGCCGCCGAAAAUCUUGGGUUUGCAGACAAGGUUCCAGCUAACCUUACAUUUGCCUCCAGACACCUUGUCGCAGCCUGCCCAUAGAUAGGCACGUCUCAGGCUAUCGAUUUUCUUUCGCACCUCAACCGGGAUAUCAAGGGGUGUUAGAUGAUAGAUUGCUAUGGCCGUGAAGACAAACAAUGUUAGCUCAUGAACUUGCUAGUUUGCCUAGAAGUUCCACUCUGUCGAACCGCCCGACAGUACCAUGCCUCUUCUUAUAGAUGAUGCAACUACUACUGAAAGCUAAUAAAGAGGUUUGAUGUCAAAAAUCCAAAAGAAAGAUGGACGCCACAUGUCGAGUCGAUCCAACCAUUGUUUCUCAGUCCUUUAGGUUUUUAAAGCAUCCGUGUUUCUUCACCGAGUAAUUAGUUAAACAGAAAAGGAACCAAUCCGACAGUACUCGGAAAAGCGAACACUUGAUCGGUAGAAACUUAACAAACAUGCUCAUCAAGUUACUGCUUUAUUAGCCUUACAGCUUACACCCAACAGACUCGCAAAAAAUAAUAAAGGAAAAAAGAGAGGGAAAGUCACACAACAGAACAACACCCACACAACUCGAUCAUGGAGUUCAGAACAACACAUGCAGUACAAAAGGACGUGACAAACUGAAACAUUACAGGAACACGCACGCACACACACACGAGUUUAUUAUCUGAAGUUUUGAAAACGCCAGCAGGCGGCACACCAUCUUAAGGCUACGGGAACCACACGGCCAUGCCCACGUCUCAAAACUGUUAGCAGCAGAGGCCAGCUUGCUCUACAUACCGUCCAGGUUGACCUGGGCGCCUGAGCCCCCCGACACCGGGAGAUUCCUGGACCUGAUCUCAACUACUUCCUCGGCCUGGAAUUUCUCCACAAAUGCCAACUUGCUGGGCUUCUGUGCAUCUGCAGAACGGAAAGAAGCGCACACACGUAGCAAAUCAUGAGCAACUAGGAGUACAAGAUAACGCUGACUGCAACAUGAACAAUACUGUUUCCAGAGCGGGGGCGCGUACGUACCCUUGUCGUCGUCGGGGCGGACGGUGUAGCCGGUGACGCGCUGGACGAGGUCGUAGAACACGUCCAGGAGCUGGGAGGCGAAGCUGGCCAUGGGAGCUGGAGCUGGGUAGUUCAGUGAGCUACUCGGACAGUCUAGUUGCUAACGUCUUACUGCUUUCUCUGCUUACUUGCUUUGAGCUGUCUGUGAGUGGUGAGUGAGUCCUAUCGCCAUCGCCGGGGCGAGGUAUUUAUGCACGGCGACGGCGCGGUGUCACCAACCGACCGCGCGCACGCGUUCUUCAGACGAGCGCGUGCGAGCUGGGACGUAGUACGUGCAUUCAGAGCGCAAAGUAUAGUUCAGAUUCCUUUAAGUUAUCGGAUGCAGAGAAUCAGAAUUUUUCGGUUUCUGGCCCGGCCAGCACGUGUAACGAUGUGUAUAAUACGGUUUGUGACUACACAGAUCUCUGGUGCACAUGUGCCCUAUUACUAGCAAGUAGCAACAAUGCCCAGCGUUGCAUCCAAAAAAAAAAAACCAUAACAUAUCUCUAUUCCAAGAAGCAGCUUGUCAAUGGAGGAGGCCAAGGUGGCCGACCGCACAGGACCUCCCAAAAAUUUGGGAACCCCACCAGAUGACCAAGUAUCACUAUAUAUUGUAUUUAAUGUACGUAUGAAAAAAACAUGUACUCCCUUCAUCGGCGAGUAAGCGUAUUUCUAUGUUUUGUCAUAAGUCAAAGUUAUAAAAUUUUGACCAACUAUAUACAAAAGAGUCGUACCAUAUAUGAUAUCAAAUUAGUAUAUUAUGAACGAGAAAUCUAACGACCAGUCGACUGGUCGUUUGCAACAUGCAAGAACGACUGAAUCGCUCCCAAUUCUUCUUUUUUCUUCCGCAAAACUGCCAUCAUAGGCGAGAAAAAAAUUGCUGCGUUUUGGAAUCGAACUGAGGUCUCCAAGAAAAGACCUACAGCAGCCUGCAACCACACCACUACGCAUAUUUUUCUUAGGCAAACGAUAGUCGUCAUACUUAACCCUACAGAGCCACGUCAGCAUAAUUAAGACACCAUUAUUUUGCUCGUUCAUGUGCGUUGAUUCAGGAAAUUAAUUUCAAGCCAUUCGCUUCUUCCAUUUGAUUGUCCGUGCAGCCAUCCCAUUUAAUGCCAACCAUUUUUUUCAACGUCAUCUUUUGAUUCACUCAUCAAGUGCCAAUGUUAGUACUUUUUUUCUCUGUGCAUUUUUAGUGCUACAGUUUCCUUUUCUUUUCUCUGUUGCAUGCACGCACGAUCCGCUCCAGAUCCGAUUUUCUUGCUCUCCUCCCGAUCCAUUUUUUUCCCUCUUCAGAUCUUUUUUCGUUCGAGAUUUUUUCACGCAAAAAUUGGUGUGAACAAGAGAGGAUUCGGUCCUUGCACCACUAGUGAGCCAACUCAACUAGCCUACCACCUGACCUACGAUCCCUUUCUUGAACAAAAGAAAGUAAAUGGGCUAUUUAACAUGUCUCCUGUACUACGUAUGCAUAAAAAUGUGUUAAUUUACUGUUUGAUUUUUUCCGCGCUUAGGUACCCCGUUCCUGCUAACUUUACUGACCCGGGGGGUGGGGGGUGAUGAAAUAUCCUCCUUAACUUUCGUGUGAAUAACAUGGUAACUCAAAUUUUAUAGACCUGAUAACUUAUGUACCCCUGUCCNNNNNNNNNNNNNNNNNNNNNNNNNNNNNNNNNNNNNNNNNNNNNNNNNNNNNNNNNNNNNNNNNNNNNNNNNNNNNNNNNNNNNNNNNNNNNNNNNNNNNNNNNNNNNNNNNNNNNNNNNNNNNNNNNNNNNNNNNNNNNNNNNNNNNNNNNNNNNNNNNNNNNNNNNNNNNNNNNNNNNNNNNNNNNNNNNNNNNNNNNNNNNNNNNNNNNNNNNNNNNNNNNNNNNNNNNNNNNNNNNNNNNNNNNNNNNNNNNNNNNNNNNNNNNNNNNNNNNNNNNNNNNNNNNNNNNNNNNNNNNNNNNNNNNNNNNNNNNNNNNNNNNNNNNNNNNNNNNNNNNNNNNNNNNNNNNNNNNNNNNNNNNNNNNNNNNNNNNNNNNNNNNNNNNNNNNNNNNNNNNNNNNNNNNNNNNNNNNNNNNNNNNNNNNNNNNNNNNNNNNNNNNNNNNNNNNNNNNNNNNNNNNNNNNNNNNNNNNNNNNNNNNNNNNNNNNNNNNNNNNNNNNNNNNNNNNNNNNNNNNNNNNNNNNNNNNNNNNNNNNNNNNNNNNNNNNNNNNNNNNNNNNNNNNNNNNNNNNNNNNNNNNNNNNNNNNNNNNNNNNNNNNNNNNNNNNNNNNNNNNNNNNNNNNNNNNNNNNNNNNNNNNNNNNNNNNNNNNNNNNNNNNNNNNNNNNNNNNNNNNNNNNNNNNNNNNNNNNNNNNNNNNNNNNNNNNNNNNNNNNNNNNNNNNNNNNNNNNNNNNNNNNNNNNNNNNNNNNNNNNNNNNNNNNNNNNNNNNNNNNNNNNNNNNNNNNNNNNNNNNNNNNNNNNNNNNNNNNNNNNNNNNNNNNNNNNNNNNNNNNNNNNNNNNNNNNNNNNNNNNNNNNNNNNNNNNNNNNNNNNNNNNNNNNNNNNNNNNNNNNNNNNNNNNNNNNNNNNNNNNNNNNNNNNNNNNNNNNNNNNNNNNNNNNNNNNNNNNNNNNNNNNNNNNNNNNNNNNNNNNNNNNNNNNNNNNNNNNNNNNNNNNNNNNNNNNNNNNNNNNNNNNNNNNNNNNNNNNNNNNNNNNNNNNACAUGCCAUGGUCACUUCUGUGCAAAUAACAUGAUAACUCAAACAUGGCGGACCUGAUAACUUAUGUACCCCGGUCCUGCGAGGAUGGGGGUGGGGCAAGUCGCUGAAACAUGCCACGGUAACUUAUGUGCAAAUUACAUGAUAACUCAUACAUGGUAAACCUGAUAACUUUGUAGGAGGGGUCGGGGUGGGGGUGUCGUUGAAACGUACGACAGUAACUUCUAUGCAAAUAACAUGAUAACUCACACAUCGUAAACAUGAUAAAUUAUGUACCAGUCCUGGUAACUUUGUCGGAGGGGCCGGAGUGGGGGAGUCGUUGAAACAUAUCACGAUAACUUCUAUGCAAAUAAUAUGAUAACUCACAAAUCAUAGACAUUAAAUUAUGUACCCAGUCCUGAUAACUUUGUCGGUGGGGUUGGGGUUGGGGGGAGUCAUUGAAACAUACCACGGUAACUUCUAUGCAAAUAACAUGAUAAGUCGCACAUUGUAGAAAUGAUAAAUUAUGUACCAAAUCCUGAUAACUUUAUCAGCGGGGGUAGGGUGGGAGGAGUUGUUGAAUCAUACCACGAUAACUCUUAUGCAAAUAACAUGAUAACUCACACAUCGCAGACUUGAUAAUUUAUGUACCCGACCGUGAUAAAUGUGACGAUUGUGGCGAGGGGUGGCGGGGGGGGGGGGCAACCCCGGUAAUUUAUAUGUAAAUAGCUUAUUAAUAGACACAUACUAAGCUGAUAACUCACAUAUAAACGCCAUUAUAAUUUUUGAUUUUUCUGUUGAAAAAUAUACAACCGGUAAUUUCUAUGUAAAAAGCAUGAUAAUGUAUACAUCACAGAUUUGAUAACUAAUAUCUUACGUUUUAAACACCAUGGUAUCCUUCAUCCAAAGGGAAAAAAGUUUUUUAAACAUUUUCAUCGGUAAUUUAUACUUCCUCAUGCCUUAACCUUCUCGUACUGUAGUUAUCAGCCUUAUCAUGGUAUAGUUAUCAUGUUGCUCAUAUCAUAGUUAUCAUGCUGGUCAUGCCAAAGUUACCAAGACAAACUUUAUUUUUUCUGAUAUGGCAGAAAUAAGAAAUGUUCAAAUAAUAUUGUUUAUCUACAAUAGACAAUGACAAAAGGUGGCUUAGUUGGUUAUUAGGCUCAAUAGGUAUUGCAUAGACGUAGGUUCGAAUCCUCUUUCAAGCAUUUUUAUUUUAUUUUCAUAUUAUGUGAUGAAAAACCAGAAAAAAUCACUAGCGAUUUACCAUGGUUUUUGAGAGAAGGAAAAAAAUUGGUAGAAAGCAAGCGUGGGAAGAUAGCAUGGGAACUAGUUGUGCGGAUCUGUCGCUAACGACCAGUCGACUGGUUGUUAGCACAGUCCUAUUAUGAAACUACAUUUCAAAAUGAAUCUAGUGAUACUAAUUUAGUGCCAUAAAUGCUGCAAUUUUUUCUUAUAAAAUUGGCUGAAAUUUUAAAAGUUUAAUUUAGAAAAAAAAAACUAGAUGUACACUUAUUUGCGGACGGAGAGAGUACGUACAUACAUAGCUAGCUUAUCCAGCCGACGCCUAUUUGGGGCCUUAAGCGCUAGUUAAAGGCUAUUGUUUUAGAAAGCGCACACUCCCUCCUUCCCCCUUCGCUACUAAAUGGGCCGGCCCAUCGAGCACAUGAGAGGAAGAUUCUUCCCCGGUUUUGGGAAGCUUCCUAGCCGGUAUUUUCUUCUGGUAUUUUUUGUUUUCAAGUUUUCCUCUUCUUUUUUCAAUUUUUUUCAAAUUAAAGAACUUUUAUCUAAAUUUCAUGAACUUUUUCCAAAUCAUUGAUCUUUUUUGAGAUUUUUGCAAACUUUUAAGUGAACGUUUUCAGUUUUUUAGCAAUUUUUUAGUGAAUAUUUUCUCAAAAUCAGUGAACUAUGUCCAAACUUGCGAUUUUUCUUUCAAUACGCGACAUUUUUUUCAAAUAUGAGAAAUUUCAAAACCGAUGAACUUUUUUUUUCAAAUUCAUGAUUUUUUCUCUUCAAAAUCUGUGAACUUUUCUCACUUUGUCAUGCUUUUUUAAAAUUAAUUAAUUUUUUUGAAUCCUCAAACUUUUUUCAAAAUUGAGGAUUUUUUUCAAAUUCAUUAUGUUUUUCUUUAAAAUCUAUAAACUAUUUAUUUUGAACUUUUUUAAAACUCAUUACCUUCUUCAAAUCCUUGAAUUUUUUUCAUUCCAUGAGCUUUUGCAAAUCUGUGAAUUAUUUCUUCAUGAAUCUUUUAUUUAAAAUCCGUAAAAUUGUUGUAGAUUUAUAUUUUUUUAAAUCAAAACAUAAGACAAAGGGAGGGGAAAAUCGAGUAAAAGAAAAACUGGUGCGAUCGACCUACGUACGCAUGAUAGAAAAGGCAAACGAUGGAAGGGAGCACUAAAUGGGAUGAGGCUCAGGACAAUUCCUCGUGCAACAGGCGCCGAAGAGGAGCUCUCGCUUACCCAGCAACGCACGCCUAAGCAAAACGAAAAAUGAACAGCGGCUGCAGCCCACAAGCAAAGCCACAACCCACGAUGUCCGUACACGUACGGAUUAUAUUUCCUAUUCCAUAGAUCGCUUCUACCAUUCGUUCGCCUCAACUAUACCCGGCCAUGGGAAGUUUGGCCCGGCCAGCCCGGCCCGAAAAAGCUCAACCCGGCCCAGCCCGACGCUGCUCCCGGGCCAGGCUUGGGCCUAGAUUUUGAGCCCGAGCCCGGCCUGUCGUUUUUGCACUUUUCUGAAGAUCGGGCCGGGUCGGCCCGAAGCCCGACGGGCUUUUACAUGUUCGGGCCGAACUCGGGCCCAGAAAACAGGCCCGAUGGCCGGGCCAGGCCCGGCCCGGGCCUGGGUUUUUUGCGUCGGGCUUGGCUAGGCCCGGCCCGAGGUAUGGCCAGGUAUAGCCUUAACCAACAUCGCUUAAAGAUAACCCCACGGGUAACCCCCCGGAGAAUGUGUUGCUCCAUGCCUAAGGCAUGGUGCUAGAAGAUCUGGUGGUUGACGAUGGUGUGGUUCACGAGCUCAAGGCUCUGUUCGACUCCCCCCUUUGUGAGCAACACAUAUGGAUCAUUGCCGCGCUCUUUAGCAAGACGAUCUCGUCGACGGAUGAAAUGGAGGCUUGCAACUCAGUGGCGUACAUGGAGAACCUUUGCCGCCACUACCCCGAGAUCAUGGAGGCGGAGAGGGCGAUAUUCGUCGAUAAUGAGGGGGAGGUCAUCUUCAUCUCCGACGACGAGGUGCAAGGCGGCGAGGAGGGGGAGUUCGACGUCGAGGAGUGGCGGAGCAUCUUCCCCAACUACGACGACGACGGCACCGGCCCGGACCCAUGUCUCACCGGCAAUGGCUUGUCGAGAAAAGAUUGGCUCGACCUCCACUAUGGCCAAUGAAGAUGAGUAGUCUAGUGCAGUUUAAGGUUGAAUUUAUGUUUAAUGUUCGGUUGUCAAGACUAUGUAGAACUCAUGUUUAAAUGUAUGCAAAAUUAGGUUGAAUUUAUGCAAAUUUAUAUUUUACUUCGCUAAGUUUAGAGGCAUCGGCUAGAACCGACCAAAACUUAGUGGAGUAUAAAUACUCCACUAGAAUUUACUCGGCCGGAUACUCCUCUAUUUUAUAGGGGAUCGGUUAGAAAUGCCCUUAUUUGCAUCCUUAUACAUAUCUCCAAAGGACAUGAAGUGUUAUGAUAUAUAGUAUCAUCACAUACAUCUGUGAAUGCGUACAGACCCAAAUAUAGAUUGACAUAUGUAAAGAGACUUUAUCUCUCACCGAUCCUCUAUAUGCUUGCUAUCGGCUCGAUACAAAGGUUAAACCUCCAUAAAAACAAAAAUACCAUUCGAUUUGUGUGUAGUGAUACAUAGACUGUUGAAUAUGCUCGAAACGGCAAUAAAAAACAAGACAUUUCCAUUUCCCCUCUAAUUUGUUUCCAGACUCAUCUUUACACCUAAUAAAAAAUAGUGGUCAACUUUGCCUUCUUCCAUCUGGUGCCCUUAUGAAAACACUCCCCCGUGUUGUUUCCGUUCGGUCAAAGGCAUUUGACCAUCUACAGGACAUUUUGUGGACAAUUUUGCGCUUGUGUGCAUAUGCCAUUGACAUGUGAGACCUUUUUGACAAAGGAAAUAUAUUAAUAUCAAGGAGAUACCAAUUACAACCAACCUCUACAAUAACGAAAUGUCGUAAAGACAUCACAGAUGCACACAGCUAAAAGACAAAAAAAUAAAAAAUAAAUAAAUGAAAAAUCCUGCUAUAGUGAUCAAGUCCUUGUAGCUGCAGCACGAGCCACAACCAAGACAACACCAAAAGUCCAAAUUCUUCAAAAGCGACACCUCCAAGAAGAAAACAGUGCACAAGCGCCGUCAUCGCUUGAUCAUAGAUCUUAGGUUUUCACCCUGAAGAAAAUCCGCACUCUCAAAACAAUGCCUUCAACAAGAACACUGCCAGACACAACCAAUUAAGGCCAGACCUUAGGUUUUCACCCUGAAAAUUAAGACUUUGUACUUCGUGUGUGUUGCCGCCCCCACUUGCUGAUGCCACUGCUACAAGUCAUGAAUCCCCAAGCGAAGUCAUCAUCGCCUCAAAGUCUCGAUCCACCAUUAUUAGGCCUCGGAUGUCAGCCACCAUGACAUUCUCCGCCACUGUCUUCACCAUAAAAUUUGAAAUACCGACAUGUCCUAUAAUGUCAACAGACAACGAAGCUUCACAUCACACCCUCCUGAAGCCACACGGGCUGAAAUUGGGGCAUACGCGACCGAAUCCAUUUUGACCAGUAAUCUACAAGCAUCAAGCAUCCAAUGAAGAUCUCUGACGAAGUAUUCCGAAACUCGUCAAUGGUCCGAUCAAAGAGGGUCGACAUCUCGCAGAACACCAUUUUGGAGCAAGAAGAACCCUAUGAGCGGCAGAUGGCGGCCACGGCAACCCAUCCGGAUCCACAACCUCCACCCUGCCCAGAUCUAGGCAGAAGCGAAGCACCUCGGGCAACCAACCCUCAACCCAUGGCUAGGCUAAGUGGUCGCCGACCCCCUGGCUGCAACCACCACCACCGGUUUGAAAUCCCCGUCCCGAUCCAGAUCCGGGCCAGGACGGGUCACCGGUGCGGACGCACCCCCAGGAGAUGGGGCAUGGCACCCCCCCUUCAUGCAUCGACGGCCACUCCGGGGCGUCAGCACCACGAGGACGUAAGUGGGGAGUUCCACCGGCGGCGAGCAACGCAUGUUGCAUGACGGAGAGCGAUGGGGAGGAGAGGAGGCUGUGGGGCGCCCCGCCGCCGCCUACCCACGCCACGACUUUGCCCGACGGGGCUAACAUGCAGCGGCGAGGUGGGGAAGGUGGGAGCAGGCGGCGGCGAUUUGGGGCUCCGCCCGUGUCGCCCCGAUGGGACGACGCGGGGGCUGUUUCGAGUCUCCGGCUAGGCCAACCGGUUCGUAUGGACCUCGACAUGUGAGACCUAACCUUGGGAAAAAGGAAAAAAGCUCUCACUAUUUCACCUUGAGGGAGUCCUGGAUUAGGGGGUCUCCGAACAGCCGGACUAUAUCCUUUGGCCGGACUAUUGGACUAUGAAGAUACAAGAUUGAAGACUUCGUCCCGUGUCCGGAUGGGACUCUCCUUGGCGUGGAAGGCAAGCUAGGCAAUACAGAUAUGAAGGUCUCCUCCCUUGUAACCGACUAUGUGUAACCCUAGCCCCCUCUGGUGUCUAUAUAAACCGGAAGGUUUAGUUCGUAGGACAAUAGAAAAUCAUAUCAUAGGCUAGCUUCUAGGGUUUAGCCUCUACGAUCUCGUGGUAGAUCAACUCUUGUAAUACUCGUAUCAUCAAGAACAAUCCAGCAGGACGUAGGGUAUUACCUCCAUCAAGAGGGCCCGAACCUGGGUAAACAUCGUGUCCCUUGCUUCCUGUUACCAUCCGCCUUAGACGCAUAGUUCGGGACCCCUACCCGAGAUCCGCCGGUUUUGACACCGACAUUGGUGCUUUCAUUGAGAGUUCCACUGUGUCGUCACCAUAAGGCUUGAUGGCUCCUUCGAUCAUCGAUAGCGAUGCGGUCCAGGGUGAGGUUUUCCUCCCCGGACAGAUCUUUGUAUUCGGCGGCUUCGCACUGCGGGCCAAUUCGCUUGGCCAUCUGGAGCAGAUCGAGAGCUACGCCCCUGGCCAUCAGGUCAGAUUCGGAAACUUAAACUACACUGCCGACAUCCGCGGAGACUUGAUCUUCGACGGAUUCGAGCCCAUGUCAGGUGCGCCACACAGUCACGACGAACACGACGUAACUCUGUCGUCGGACAGUGUUCGGGAGAUCGCAUCUGCAACUACUCUGGCCUUCAAUCCGGAGCAAAUUGCGCCAUCCAAGGACGGAGGGAUAGACCCCGCCAUGGAGGCCACACUCUCAGUGGCGAUAGAGCCGGAUACUGACUUCACCCCUUACGAGAGCCGUGUCGCCGAACCACUGAUUCACCUCCGGCCACGGACUCCGAGCCGCUUACAUCCGUGCCCGUCGAAUCCGACUGGGCGCCGAUCAUGGAGUUCACCUGCGCGGAUAUCUUUCAGCACUCGCCCUUCGGUGAUGUGCUAAAUUCAUUGAGGUCCCUCUCCCUGUCAGGAGAAUCUUGACCGAACUAUGUCUGGCUAGAAUGGGAUGCGGACGAUGAAGAAAUUCGCUGCCCACCCACCACCCACUUAGUAGCCACUGUUGACGAUUUAACCGACAUGCUCGACUUCGACUCCGAAGACAUCGACGGUAUGGACGAUGAUGCAGGAGACAAGCAGGAACCACCGCCCACAGGGCGCUGGACCGCUACAUCAUCCUACGACAUAUAUAUGGUGGACACCCCUAAAGAAGGCAAUGGCAACGAGACAGCGGAGGAUGACCCCUCCAAGAAGCAACCCAAGCGCCGACGUCAGCGGCUCCGCUCUAAGUCCCGCCACAGCAAAAGUAGUGAUACCGGCACAGGAGAUAAUAACACUCCGGAUAGUGCCGAAGGCAAUCACAAUCCCCUCCAGCAUGAUGUAGAGCCAGAGGAUGAACAAGCCAGCCCUCUAGAGCAGGCAGCAGAUGGAGAACCAGAGGAGGACAAUUACAUGCCUCUCUCCGAAGACGAGGCGAGCCUCAGCGACGAAGAAUUUAUCGUGCCUGAGGACCCCGUCGAACAGGAGCGCUUCAAGCGCCGGCUUAUGGCCACAACAAAUAGCCUGAAGAAAAAGCAACAACAACUUCAAGCUGAUCAAGACUUGCUAUCAGACAGAUGGACCGAAGUCCUUGCGGCUGAGGAAUACGAACUCGAGCGCCCCUCCAAGAGUUAUCCAAAAAGCAGGUUGCUACCUCACCUCGAGGAGCAAGCACUGAAGCCUCAUGAACCAGUGUACGAUGCGGCUGAAUGGCCACUGCGUGGCCAAGCCAAAGAGGCGUUUCAGCCUGAAGUUCAGCCUGCACCUCGCCGCCACUCAGUCCAAAAUACCAAGGCUCGGGGCAACACACGGGACCUGCGAGACGUAUUGGACAGUAAGGCAAAACUUGCAAGGUCAAUAUACGGGUCACGGGCACGCGCCCCAACAUGGGACGAUGAUCGUCGCGCCCGAUAUGCCAAAAGCAAAUCCGACCGGGCCGAAUACAAUAGACAAGACUCAUAUGAACUGCGUCGGGAUAUAGCCCGACACAGAGGCGCCGCACACCCCCUAUGCUUCACUGAUGAAGUUAUGGAUCACGAAUUCCCGGAGGGUUUCAAACCCGUAAAUAUUGAAUCAUAUGAUGGUACAACAGAUCCCGCCGUAUGGAUUGAGGAUUUCCUCCUUCACAUCCACAUGGCUCGCGGUGAUGAUCUACACGCCAUCAAGUACCUCCCACUAAAACUCAAAGGACCAGCUCGACAUUGGCUGAAUAGCUUGCCAGCAGACUCCGUCGGCAGUUGGGAGGAUCUGGAAGACGCAUUCCUUGACAACUUCCAGGGCACUUAUGUGCGACCACUGGAUGCCAAUGACUUGAGCCAUAUAACCCAGCAGCCAGGGGAAUCGGCCAGACAAUUCUGGACUCGGUUCCUGACUAAGAAAAACCAAAUUGUCGAAUGUCCGGACGCAGAGGCCCUCGCGGCAUUCAAGCACAACAUCCGUGACGAGUGGCUUGCCCGCCACCUUGGCCAGGAGAAGCCGAAGUCUAUGGCAGCCCUCACGACACUCAUGACCCGCUUUUGUGCGGGCGAGGAUAGCUGGUUGGCUCAUAGCAAUAACACAUCGAGGAAUCCGGGUGCUUCGGAUACCAAAGAUGCCAACGGCAGACAACGUCAUAACAGACCAAAGCGCCACAAUAACGACGAUAACACCGAGGAUACGACAGUCAAUGCUGGAUUCAGAGGCUCUAGAUCCGGUCAGCAGAAAAAGCCAUUUAAAAGAAGUACUCCGGCUCCGUCCAGUUUGGAUCGCAUAUUGGAUCAUUUGUGUCAAAUCCACGGCACCCCCGACAAGCCAGCCAAUCACACCAACAGAGAAUGCUGGGUGUUCAAGCAGACCGGCAAGUUAAAUGCCGAAAACAAGGACAAGGGGCUGCAUAGUGAUGACGAGGAGGAGCCCUGGCUGCCGAACACGGGAGGAUAAAAGGGGUUCCCCCCACAAGUGAAGACGGUGAACAUGAUAUACACAACCCACAUUCCCAAGAGGGAGCGGAAGCGUGCACUAAGAGACGUCUAUGUGAUGGAGCCCGUCGCCCCAAAGUUCAACCCAUGGUCUGCUUGCCCGAUCACCUUUGAUCGCAGGGAUCACCCCACUAGUAUCCGUCAUGGCGGAUCCGCCGCACUGGUCCUAGACCCCAUCAUCGACGGAUUUCAUCUCACUCGAGUCCUUAUGGACGGCGGCAGCAGCCUGAACCUGCUCUACCAGGAUACAGUGCGAAAAAUGGGUAUCGAUCCCUUGAGGAUCAAAUCCACCAAAACCACCUUUAAGGGCGUCAUCCCAGGUGUAGAGGCCCAUUGCACGGGCUCAAUCACACUGGAAGUAGUCUUCGGAUCAUCGGACAACUUCGGAAGCGAGGAGUUAAUCUUCGACAUCGUCCCGUUUCGCAGUGGCUAUCAUGCACUGCUGGGACGAACUGCAUUUGCAAAAUUUAAUGCAGUACCGCAUUACGCAUACUUCAAGCUCAAGAUGCCAGGACCUCAGGGGGUCAUAACAGUUAAUGGAAACACAGAACGCUCGCUCCGCACGAAAGAGCACACUGCGGCCCUCGCAGCAGAAGCACAAAGUAGCCUUUCAAGGCAAACCACUAAUUCGGCGAUACAACCCCUGAACACCUUCAAGCGUGUCCGGAGUAAACUGCAACAGGAUUGCCUGGCACGUUCAGAGCUCGCCUAGCAAUUCGGCCCCGUCCCAAUCCCAGUCAAGCGACAAAAUCCGUGCCGCACGUACAUAAUUACGCACUGAAAAUACCAUGGACAUAGGCAGGGGCACGAUCAGGGCACGUCACGCAAUGCGGCUUAACCGCCCUCGGGGCUGUAUAUCUUUAUCAUUUCUUUUCUCUUUCAGGGCCUAACUCUCUGGAAACCCUUUCCGGCAGUAUGAUUGCCGGACACAUUACGGGAAGGAACAACCAAGGCGGCAAGAAGCUAAGAUGUACACGGGAAUCCUGAGGUGGUCUCUAAUAAUAAUACCCGCUUUCUAUACGCAGCUUGCCCUUGGAUAGGACAUUUCGAAUAGUCCUACUUUCUGCUAAUUGCACUACCUGUACCAGUAUGUUUCGACGUAUUAUUUAAAUAACAAUGCAUAGAAUUAGUCUAUUAUUGUGUUAUUCGUUCUCUUUUUUUCUUCCUUUAUGUCCAUUUACGACAAUCCGCACCCGUCAAUUCGGGUACGGUCAGUACGCCAGGGGCUUUCGUUUACCCCAUAAUACAGCGCGAGAAGUCCGAACACUUUUGACAGUGCGGCACCCCGAACUUAUAUCAUCAUAUGCAUCAGCUCCGAAUCAUGUCUUGGGUCAAUAGUUGGGUUUGCCCGGCUCCCAUGCUUUGGUACCUUACAUUCCGCUAUAUCGGAUAAGGUAGCGGUGGGAGAACUACUGCGAUUGUGUCCCGGCUCUUCCGGACGAGCACCUCAGUAGAGAAAGCCGAAAGCUGAUUGUCAUGAUAAGGCAAGAGACUGGUCGCUGUUCGAGAGGUCUCAAGUCCUUAAAGACUUUUUCUGCUUCGGGCGAGGAGUCGGCCUUGUCCGGCUUAGGCGUGUAUAGUGCCCCAAAUUUGGCCUUCCGAAUACCAAGGGCUUCGCCAAAAUUUAAAAUUAUAGACUUCUAUGGCUAAGUGAGAGUGAUAAAGCAUUAUAGUCCGAUUGCCUAGUUCGUUGCGUUGAACACCUCCCUUGAAGGACCCAAAAUUGGGGGUAAAGAGUGCUCAGGUUUAUCCCGAACACCCCAGUACUAGUUACAUGGGGGCAGAAUCCAACGACUGGCCAACUCUCAAAUUUUAUAAACGGCCGCACAGAAGGUAAUAUUUUAAAUUAAAAAAGCGUCGCAUGGCGCAAAUGAACUCGUUUCAUAUUACAGGAUCACAUGAGUAUGUUCAUUCAAAAAUUACAUCCUUGGCACACUCAUCCGCCACAAGGCGGGAACCCUUCAGGACACUCUCAUAGUACAUCUCGGGGCAGCGAUGCUCCUUGCCCUCUGGCGACCCCUCCUUCACCAGCUUCACGGCGUCCAGCUUCGCCCAGUGCACCUUUGUCUGGGCAAAAGCCCUGCGCGCACCCUCGAUGUAGAUGGACCGCUUUAUGACUUCAAGCCGUGGGCAGGCGUCGACGAGCCGCCUUACCAGACCGAAGUAGUUGCCGGACAGGGGCUCGCCAGGCCACAUCCGGACUAUAAGGCCCCUCAUGACUUGUUCGACCGCCUUGUGAAGCUCGACCAACUGCUUCAGCUGGUCGCUCAAGGGCACGGGGUGUUCGGUCCCAGUAUACUGAGACCAGAACAACUUCUCCGUCGAGCUCCCCUCCUCAGCUUGGUAAAACUCCGUGGCAUCCAGUACACUGCGGGGAAGAUCUGCAAACGCUCCUGGAGAGCUCCGAACUCGGGUAAGAAAAAGGAAAGUCUCCUUCACGUUCUUGCUUUGCAUAAUGAAUGCCUUACCCGCUGCUAUCUUCUUCACCACAUCAAUCUCCUGGAGGGCCUUGGCGCUCCGGAUGCUUUCAAGCGCCUGCGGGAGCUCGGACUCUCGCGUCUUAGAGUCAAGCUCCAAGGACUCGUGCUUUUUGGCGAGAGCCUCGAGCUCUUGCUGCACCUCACCUACUCGGCCUUCUUGCUUCUCCCGUUCAAUGCGCUCCUUGGCCGCUUUGUUUUCUGCCUCGGACAGCGCCUUCCUCAGGGUUGCCACUUCGGUCGUGGCCCCUGGCAAAUCCAUGAUGAUCCUAUUACUUUACACCCAAAUUUCUUUUUAAAUAUAUAGACAAGGGUAUUGCUUACCUUUGCUCUCCUCGAGCUGCCUCUUGGUAAGGCCGAGCUCAUCCUCAGACCGCUCCAGGUCCUGCUUCAGCACAUAGACCUUCGUAGUACGUGCGGCAGCGGCCAGCAAUGAAGCCUGCACAUACACAUAGACAUUUUUCUGAUUAGACUCCUGAGUUAUCAUUUGAUCCUCUAUCCGACCUUUCUUUCCGAACGCCGAAGAGAGCAUCAAGGGCUAGUAUCCAUGUGGGCAUCUUUUCCUAUAUCUUCAUUGCUUACCUCAAAGCCUGUUAGGAGGCUGGCACAAGCUUCAGUCAGUGCGUUUUUGGCGGACUGAACUUUCUCGAUCACCACACUCAUGAUAGUAUGGUGCUCUUCAUUGAUGGAAGCGUCGUGAAGCGUUUCCAGCAAGUUGUCUGGUGCCUCUGGAUAGAUAGAGGACACUGGCACGGGCGGCUUGCCCCCCUUAACGGGGGGUCGCCGGCCGGAGUUCGGAACCACCAAAGAUUCCGGUGCAGUGUUCGGCUGGGGGCCGAACCUAGAGCCCAUGGGAGUCCGGAUCCCUUUGCGCCCAGGGUCCGGAAGGUUGCCUCGAGGCGCUCCCAGGACUGCCUCCCCUUGGCCCGGUGUUUGUUGAGACAACACCUCGACGUUGUCCGCAGGGCAAGGAGUGGAGGCGGUCGGAAGAGAACCGCUGUUCAUAUCCGAUGAGUCCAACGAACCGCUCGACGAAGUUACAUCGAGAUGAGCUCGGGACGAACUGCAUAAUCAUGUUUGGCAUGAGAAGAAGCAGUGCAGUAAAACAUACCAUGAAUUACUAUGGUGUCCGGAUACUUAAGACUUCGCCACGGGCUUGACCCUGGGUAGCCACUCGUCGCCGCUGUAGGCGACCGUCAUGGAGUAGUCCGGAGGGAGGGUCUUGCCCUUCUUGGACCCUUCGGCCUCCCCGGUUGGGUCGGCCUUCCUUUUCUUGUCUCCCCCGGCUGGGGGGGGGGAUAGAACUUUCCUCUUCCUCCUCCUCGUCUUCGUGGGAGGAGUGCGCGUCGGAGUCAUCGGACGAUGAGUCAGAUACAACCUUGCGCUGGAGACCCUUUCGGGUCCCCGCGGCCUUCUUUUUGGUCUUCCUCACCGGCACCUCAUAAGGUGCCGGAGUCAGCAUCUCUGUUAGGAGAGCGCCUGCAGGAUCUUCGGGCAGGAGGGCUGGGCAAUCAAGCUGCUCCGCUGUUUUUAUCCAGUCCUGUUUAUGACAUAGAAGUUUAGAUCCUGCAUAUGACUAAACCGGGGCAAAUAAAUACCCUAAGAGAAAUAAAAACUUACCAGAUUGGCGCGACGCUUUGCGCUGAGUCCGCGGUCCUCGGUGAGGGAAGGAGGUACCUCAGCGCCCUUGAACAGCACCCUCCAGACGUCCUCGUGCGUUGUGUCAUAGAGCUCUCGCAGCGUCUGGUGCUUGUCCGAGUCGAACUCCCACAAAUCGAAUGCCCGUCGUUGACACGGGAGGAUCCAGCGGAAGAGCAUGACCUGGACCACGUUGACGAGCUUGAUUUUCUUACUCGUCAUGUUUCGGAUGCAGGUCUGGAGUCCGGUCAACUCUACCGAAGAACCCCAUGACAGGCCCUUCUCUUUCCAGGAGGUGAGCCGCAUGGGGAUUCCAGAUCGAAAUUUGGGGGCCGCCACCCAGUUGGAGUUGCGCGGCUCGGUGAUGUAGAACCACCCCGAUUGCCACCCCUUUAUGGUAUCCACAUAGGUGCCCUCGAGCCAGGUGACGUUAGGCAUCUUGCCCAUCAUGGCGCCUCCGCACUCUGCUUGCUGGCGACCCACCACCUUCGGUUUAACAUUGAAGGUUUUCAGCCAUAUGCCGAAGUGGGGCCUGAUGCGGAGGAAGGCCUCACACACGACGAUAAACGCCAUGAUGUUGAGGAUGAAAUUGGGGGCCAGAUCAUGAAAAUCCAGCCCGUAGUAAAACAUGAGCCCGCGGACAAAUGGGUGGAGGGGAAAUCCCAGUCCGCGGACAAGAUGGGUAAGAAAAACUACCCUCUCAUGGGGUUCGGGCGUAGGGACGAUCCGUCCUACGUCUGGCAGCCGAUGCGCGAUAUCCGCGGCCAGAUAUCCGGCUUCCCAUAACUUUUUGAUGUUCUCCUCCGUGACGGAGGAGACCAUCCACUUGCCUCCUACUCCGGACAUGCUUGGAGUGGUUUGAGAAGAAGAACGCGAGCUUGGGCGCUAGAGCUCGAGUGCGGGAAUGGGUAAGCAAGGAGGAAGAAGGCGUGGGUGAAAAGAGUAAAUCCUUGUCCCUUUAUAAGGGCGAAUAGGCGAUGCGUCUCCCCACUUGUCUGGUAAAACCGCUUAUUCCCCAGCCGCUGUAAUUGAUGGCGCGGUUGGGUUACCCACGUCCGUAUUGAUGAGAAUCCCGUAAUAAGGGGGACACAAUCUCUGCUUUGACAAGACGUGUUGAGAAAAUCGCCCCAUGUUAUGUGUGGUGCUGGUUGAGAAAAACGGUCCGAAUAAUGACCGAGCCAUGACAUGACAUCAUGCUGUCAGAACGCGUUAGCAGAUUAGAUUUGUGCGAAUAUUAUUCUCUCUGCGGUAGUAUGUGGAACUUGUUUUGCAGAGCCGGACACUAUUCUGGUGUUCAAAAUCUUCUAUGGAGUAUUCGGAGGAGGAACCCGCCUUGCAAUGCCGAAUACAAUACCGCGCGCCGGACUCAUCAUCAUUGAAGCCUAGUUUAGGGGCUACUGAGGGAGUCCUGGAUUAGGGGGUCUCCGGACAGCUGGACUAUAUCCUUUGGCCGGACUAUUGGACUAUGAAGAUACAAGAUUGAAGACUUCGUCCCGUGUUCGGAUGGGACUCUCCUUGGCAUGGAAGGAAAGCUACGCAAUACGGAUAUGAAGAUAUCUUCCCUUGUAACCGACUCUGUGUAACCCUAGCCCCCUCUGGUGUCUAUAUAAACCGGAGGGUUUAGUCCGUAGGACAACAGACAAUCAUACCAUAGGCUAGCUUCUAGGGUUUAGCCUCUACGAUCUCGUGGUAGAACAACUCUUGUAAUACUCGUAUCAUCAAGAACAAUCCAGCAGGACGUAGGGUAUUACCUCCAUCAAGAGGGCCCGAACCUAGGUAAACAUCAUGUCCCCUGCUUCCUGUUACCAUCCGCCUUAUACGCACAGUUCGGGACCCCCUACCCGAGAUCCACCGGUUUUGACACCAACACACCUCCUCUCUAUCAUUACAUGUGGGGCCUAAACACAAAUUUAAAAAGGCCAUGGAAAAAACUUAUUCUCUCGCCUACCUCACAGUCUCUCUCUCACCUCCGACGACACCAUGUCAAGCCCAAUCCCUGUGUUGCUGCUAGCUCGGCACGCCUGACUCUCUCUCUCUCUCUCCGAUAUCCCUUCGUCCUCCCUCUUUCUCUCUCGCUAGAGAAUGCAGAAGCGCCCGGUCAUGCUGUCGCCGAAAACGCAUGGCCAACGACAGCCCCAAGCCUUGAAAUGAUGUCUGGGCCUUUCUUGAUUGGGCUGGCUUGCUAAAGACUAUUAAAUUUCUCCCCCAUACUCUAGUAUGGGUGAACCUUUCUGAGGCACAUCUUCACUUGUCCAUUAUCACCAGAAUGGAUGGCAAGCUUCAACCAUGUGAUAUCUUCGUGAUGCUCCACUUGAACUUGCACAACUCAACCUUGAUGACGAUCACCACUUGUCAUCUUCCAUGGGUUAUAUAAGAUUUUUCUUUUGAUGCAAGCCCAUGGAAAAAUACCUAUCCACACAGAGAAACACCAACCAAUGAAACAUGGGUUAGUUCACAAAUUGUAAUGGACAAUGCUUAACAUACCAUGAGAUCACUUGAUCCAACUUGGUACAUCUUCUAUGCUUUGUGUGUUGAUCAACUUGAAUCCACUCUUUGUACUUUGACUUGAUGAAUCUUGUAUCUUAUCUUCUAUAUUCAUUAAGAUGAUGCCUUGAAGGUAAACACGAAUGUUCACACAAUCUUGUUCUUCAGGACAUGCCUGCAAUAGGCUCAACACCUCAUAAGACCAACUUUGCAUAACUCUUUGAAUAACACCAUGGUCAACCCAUAAUCUCCCUCUCCUAACAUCGAAACCAACAUAUGGUCUUCAAGUAGUGCUUAUGGACAAACCCUUCAAGUACAACUCAAGGCAAUCAUUAGUCCAUAGGGAUUGUCAUCAAUUACCAAAACCAAACAUGGGGGCACCAUGCUCUGUCAAUAAGUAACACAAUUGGCUCGUCCUUAGCAUUACUAAGGAUUGGUCCCCUUGCAACACUCUUUUACUUUUUAUUGUUAAUCACGUUUCAUUGCUCCAUUACAAUCACCAAACAGAACACCAUUACAACUUUAAGCAUUUACAAUGAAUUCUUGAUACUUUGCACCUACCAAUUCAUUUGGCUCCUCGUGGGCACGAUACUCUUACUUAUUGAAAACAUCUAAACUUGACCCCCUAAACUAGUGGGACAUAAUCCUGAAAAAUAACUUAAGGGAAAGAUUAAUCAUGCAUUGAGUAGAUUCCUCAAUUAAGUAGAAGGACUUGAAAAAUAGUUGUGUUGCUAAGUAUCAGGCACUAAUAUGAGUGGCACAUUAGAAAGUUUAGUAACCAUGGUCAACCAUGACACAUGAAAAGAAGGGCAUUUACCUCCCUUUCUGGAGUGUGGUCGCGGCUUGGCUGGAAACUAUGGAGGAGUUGUUAGGGAUGACACAAACUUCUACAUGUUAGAAUUUUUAUAAGACCGAUAGAGGAGCCUUGUGAGAGGAAUCACUUUAAGGCUUUGAGAUGUUGGUGACAAGACAAAGUUUAUGUUAUGGACAAUUCCAUUCGAUUGUGUAGACGAGUCUUGCUCAAACCUUUGGAGGAACCUUAGGCCAUAGGGAUCACCUAAAGCUUUAGUAAACACAUUGAGAGGCAAUAUCUCUUUCUCCAAAUAAGGGGGGAGAGGUCCAAGUGACACAUGGGGUAGCUUUAGCCGUGUAAGAUUGAUGAGUGUUUUGAAUUAAGGUUUGUAGUGUGUGUGUGUGUGUGUGUGUUGUGUUAACGAUCUAUGUAUUUGGGGCACACAUUGCAUCUUCAAAACAAUAUUGACUAUUCUCAUUUUAGGUAACGACUAAAUACCAUACUACCAUUAAGUGGAAUUGGGUAUACCAGAUGUUUUGUGAGAGCCCAUGAUUCAAAUUGUUGUUGUAUGUUGGUAGUUGUGUGCUUGUACGGAAUUAUUGCUUCUUUGGAUGUUUGUUUGUAUUAUAAUUAAUGAACAAACAUGGUGCAUUAAGAAUAAAUCAGUUUACACUAACUUGAAGGAGACAUGUGUCCACAUGCGGAUGCGUAUUUUAUGUUGGUAGCUGUGGGUACAUGCUAUAUAGUAAUGUUGCGGUCGCAUAUCCAUGCGUGGGUGCAUAUUCACGUGUGGUUGCGUAUUCGCACACACUUUUGUUCUCACAUGCACAUGUGCAUUUUCAACUUACCAUUGUCCCACAUGAAUAUUACAUUGGUUGUUAUCAUUUGUGGCUAGUCAUGUCUAAGUUGUGGUAUUGACUUAUUCUAGAUUUUAGUUGUUUCACAAGCAUACCUCAUGGCUUUAUUGGAAAUUAGAAGUUUUAAAUGUGUUACUUAAGCGUAACAUAAUUGUGAAACAUAAUGUAUUCCUCUUGUUCAUCAAUAGAGAAAGCAAAAAUGACAUAUUGUUCCUCAAUAAAAAACAUUAACUACUCAUUCAACAAGAAGAACUCCAAACAUUAUAGAGAUUUUGUCAUAUUGGAAUAAACUUCAUGACAUAAUGCCCUAAACAUGAAAUGUGUAUUAUUGCCUCCAAGAAGCUUAAUAAAGAAGUACAAUCGACAAUGACAACUAAUAGUACAAUCGACAAUCAACAAUGACACCUAAUAGAAAUAUAAUAUCCCUUGAUGUAAUUCAAAUGAAAGCACCAACCGACAUCUAAAGUAGUCCUCCAAAUUAUGCAUCAAUAUCAUCAUCAUUCCCACCGGAAAAUUCUGGUGGUGCAUUAUUGACCCACUAAUCACAUUCCAUGUUAUAUUGCUCUAGAUCACUAAUAUUAUAGUCCAAGUAAGAAUCCAUCCCUAGAACUUCAUGCGCCUGGUCCAAAGGAGCAUUAGCCAAGUUAUCAUAGCCGAAUGAUUCAUGGAUGAAAGUGUCAUUACCACCGGAG
RNAcentral lists this long non-coding RNA (44802 nucleotides) under Triticum aestivum (bread wheat). Its description in RNAcentral is "long non-coding RNA (TAES_LNC021480)". The stretch from base 21766 to 21891 matches the Rfam family "MIR1120/MIR1122 microRNA precursor family". Lineage: Eukaryota; Viridiplantae; Streptophyta; Magnoliopsida; Poales; Poaceae. The record is from RNAcentral.